GGCCACCCCUUAAACCCAUUCUCUCUGGGUUCACUAAGAGUCGUGGCUGUCCAGUACGUUUCUCGCCCAAGAAGAACUUCCACUUCUUCAAGCCUCCCUCUUCCACGAUCACAUACUUUGCAGGUUCAGUUGAGAAGUCAAUGGAGAAGGCUUCCCCGUUACGACCAAGUAGGAGAAGUGUGUCUUCACAAGCCACCAAAUUUCCGGAAAGCACGUACGGGUCCAUAUAAUCUCUGCAAUCAAGUCUUAGUAGCUCAACAUGAAACUGAGGUGUCAAAUGCACGGUGUAUAGUUUUUGACGCAUCCUCAUAAUGACCCCACCUUUGAAGGACACCAUCUCCUUGAUCAAAUGUGCAUUUAGAAAAUCGCAGUGCAACCAAGAGGGGCUCCCAACUCGCCAAGCAUACAGGCAGUGCGGGCUGCUGAAAAAUAGAUAUGAAUCUGGUGACGCCUCUGGAGAUAUGAAGGUUCUGUAGCAUAGUUGACUCAAUGGAAAAGGUGGAGCUGCAACCGUAGUGCCAGUGAGCACGUCCAUAAUGACAAGGGAUCUCUCGUAGCAGAAAAUAGCAUGACCAUAAGAACAUUUGACGACUGCCAUUUUGUCCAAAAUACUUGGAGGGGUCAAGCGACACAACGGAGUACUUGGAUAUACAGGAUCAAUGAGCUCCCAUGUGUUUCCAAUGUUAGAGCCAGCUGAGCUUGUCUGGUCAGCACAGUUCCGGAAAAUAACAGGUGGGAAGAGCUCGCCUAAGGUAGAUUUGAUUGACAUGAAUGCGGCAUACCAGCUAGGGCAGGUGGCGAUGAAUGCAAGAAGGUCACGAGUUGAACCCAACAGGACAAUGAUGGAGUGCAAUAAUCCAUGUGGUAGGUCCGCCCAGCCUUCGGGUCCAAACAUGACACGGUGCACGGAGAUGGGGGUGUCGGAGCUCCGGUUGAUAUUUUGCAUGAUAUCAGCUUCAAAUUCUGCAUUAAGGAUCAUGAAAGGACAACAAUUUUAGCAAUGGACCUGAGUUAACUAUAUAAUAUAAAUUGCUAUCACUAUUUUUAUUAAAUUGGUACUGCUACUGCUAUGAUAAUUAUACAAACACAAUAAAAAUGUUUGUAGAAACUAUAAACAUAAUACACAGUAGAGCAAAGACUACACUAUUGCCAUCGAAAUGUGCAUCUGCCUCAAGAAAAUUCGAUCACGAUAAAAUUCAUCAACAGUUGAAAAGGAAAGGCAAGUUCUGUAUUUUUCUUUCCACCGAAUGUUAUUUAUAUGUGUUGCGCAACAGGUUUGACUCUUGUCUCCAGGUCGAUUCCGGGCCCACAGAUACGCGAUAAAUUUCAUCAACAUUUGAAAUUAAAAAGUGCAAGCAAUAUUGAAAUUCUAAGAUUGUUCUACACUGAUAGUGGUAAACCCUUGAACUAUUUCAUAUUUUCAUAUAGUAUAAACACAACAGGAUCGCACAUCCACCAACAACACAUACACUCAGAUCCCCAAAUCAUCAAUGGCAGAGUCAGGCUACCAAGAACAAAAGUGCGAUGAACGCGUCAGAGGAGGUUGCCCACAAUGGGGGGAUGACGGGCCAAGGAAGAUGAUCCUGGGCAGCCUUGCGCGGUUGAGAACUCUGUCUGAUCAUGGACCGUGGCACCGGUCAGCAAAUAUAUAUACUCGGCCAACCCACGAGACCAUGUCCUACAUGGAAAUUGACUUAACCUAGAUCACAUCGUAUACUACAUAUUUGGACUCAAGCUUGACGCGAACACGUGAACUCCUACUAGUACAUGUACAUGACUUUGGUUAGUCCCCAAAGAAAUAAAGCCACGUGACAUGCAAGCACCAAGUACAUCAUGUUCCAAACAAAACAAUCAAGAUUAUGCUAACACUAGCGUCGGCCACUGCACCACCAAUGGCUGUCAUGGGUUCCCAACUCCAGUAGGAGGUGGGCAAGGUCUCGUCCACGAUACCGGCAAUCACUCCAAAGCUGCUUGUAUGUACAACUCAGAGCAAGGGGGUAGAACUCGACAUCAACUUGGUUCCUUCCCUUGCCAGGGCUGAACCCGGAGGGCGGAGGUGAUUCAAGGCCAGGCCUCCUCCAUGAGUCCGGCAGCCAGCAAGGAAAAUGAAGUGGGCGAAGUCAACCUCAACAAGGCUCCUCCCCUACCCCUGGAGCCAGUAACAUGAAAGCCAAGCACCACAAAGAUAAGAAUAGCACAAGGGUAAGUGUCGGUGUCAAAACUGGCGGAUCUCGGGUAGGGGGUCCCGAACUGUGCGUCUAGGCGGAUGGUAACAGGAGACAAGGGACAUAAUGUUUUUACCCAGGUUCGGGCCCUCUCGAUGGAGGUAAUACCCUACUCCUGCUUGAUUAAUAUUGAUGAUAUGGGUAGUACAAGAGUAGAUCUACCACGAGAUCAAGGAGGCUAAACCCUAGAAGCUAGCCUAUGGUAUGAUUGUUGUUCUGUCCUACGGACUAAAACCCUCCGGUUUAUAUAUACACCGGAUAGGUUAGGGUUACACAGAGUCGGUUACAAUGGUAGGAGAUCUACAUAUCCGUAUCGCCAAGCUUGCCUUCCACGCCAAGGAAAGUCCCAUCCGGACACGGGACGAAGUCUUCAAUCUUGUAUCUUCAUAGUCUUGGAGUCCGGCCGUGACGAUAGUCCGGCUAUCCGGACACCCCCUAGUCCGGGACUCCCUCGGUAGCCCCUGAACCAGGCUUCAAUGACGACGAGUCCGGCGCGCAUAUUGUCUUCGGCAUUGCAAGGCAGGUUCCUCCUCCGAAUACUUCAUAGAAGGUUUUGAACACAAGGAUAGUGUCCGGCUCUGCAAAACAAGUUCCACAUAACACCGUAGAGAGAAUAAUUUUUGCACAGAUCUGCUGACGUAUUCCGCGGCGUGACAUCACACCACGGCCAGGCCUUUAUAUGAAUCGUUUUUACUGUUCCACCUCAGCGUGUUUAGCGAGGCAGUUUCCUUGGCACGUCUUAUCAAGGCGUAGAUCGCGCCCCCUUAUUCCGGGAUUCUCAUCAAUACGGACGUGGGUAACCCAACCGUGCCCAUUGGCCUGCCUCCUCUAUCAAAGGCGAGUCCUAAUCGACCACGGGGUGGGCUCUUGGUAUUCAACCUCUUUAUAAUAAGACCAAGGCCCUCUUCUUUUUACACCCUCCAUCGAGUUCGCCUUGCGCUUCGAGUUCCAACACCCAAAGCUUCAGAUUCGGGCGCUUCGGACUUUCAAAGAUAUCCGGAUCCGACCAGCACGGCCGAUGGAUGUCUUCCUCCGUCACAGAAGAAGACAUGCUAAAACUGCGCGACGCCAGGUAUCUAACCGGCGAGAUCUCGCAUAGGCUGCCUGCUCCAGGGUAGGUCAUUCCCACUCCUGAGCCCGGCGAGAACGUGGUGUUCGUGUCCCACUUCCUUCGGGGUUUAGGCUUCCCGACGGAUCCCUUUGUGCAGGGGCUCAUGUUUUAUUAUGCGCUUGAUUUCCAUGACUUGAAUCCGGAGUCCAUCCUCCAUAUCUCGUCAUUCAUUGUCGUAUGUGAGGCCUUCCUCCAUAUUACCCCCCACUUUGGAUUGUGGCUCAAGACCUUCAAGGUGGAGCCAAAGAUGAUCGAGGGGCAACAAGCAGAGUGCGGAGGGGCGGCCAUAAGCAAAUGUGCUGAUGCUCCAUGGCCCGAGGGCUCUUUUCAAGAGGAGCUUGGUUUGUGGCAACGGGAGUGGUUUUAUAUCACCGCUCCCAGGGGCACCAAAUGGGAGCCGCUCCCUGCCUUCCACUCAGGUCCACCACAGCGGCUGGCAUCAUGGGUCAACAAGGGGCUUGAUUGGGGGCUGUAUUCGAGACCUCCAGGAAAGAGGAAUCAACCUGGUUGCAGUGGCGCAGGUUAUGGUGAUCCGGCGCCUUCAGCCCUGCAAACGUCACCCCCUCCGCCUGUGGGAAUUCAAUCUGGAGGGACCACGAGCUCUCCAAAACUUUAUGGGCACGACGCCCAUGGAGAUGUAUAGACUGUUCUUCGGAUCACAAGAGAAGUGUCCGGACUUGACCGAGGACGCAGGACUAAGCUGCAAUCGCCCGGAUACUCAAGUAAGUAGUCCUGUAACCGGACAAGCUGUUUAUUCAUUUAUUUUAUAUAUGUGCCCUUUAAAGGAGCCGUUUCUUGCACAGGAAUGGAUAGCCAAGGCAAAGUUAAUAAGGUGUCCGGCUCCCCUCCCAGAGACCACGCUGGAUCCCAUGCUGACCAAGAUGUUGAAGGUCGCGCCUUUUGAAGAAGGCGAAGGGGGGAGCGGGAAGGCAACUACCUCUAUGAAGGAGGCUAUCAAGGAAGGAGGGAUUAAGAGUCCCACCUUCCGAGGAGAGAAGAGGACCGCUUCGGAAGAUCCGGAGGUCAAGGCCUCAAAGAGGGGAAAGGGAUCUUCGGCAAAGAGUCCGGCGCUGGGAAGUAACCCAGGCGCAUUAUUCCCCCAAGGGGAUCAGCCCUCCAGCGGGCCGUAAGUAAAAAGAAGGGGUCUUGUAAAUAAGGAACAUCCCUGUAUUUAUUCAUGAAGAUAACCGAAAUUGUACCUUGUAGUUCGGACCUCAGCCCUUCUCAGCAGAGCUCGUCUUCGCGGGAUCUUCUUCCGGAGAUGAUGGAGAGCGAAACGCCUCCACUUGUCGCACCCUCAUGUGAAGCGGACGACCCGGAGGUGUCGUCGCGGAGGGUUCCCCCAAGUCCGGCGGGGCCGGAAGGUCCGGCGCCAAGUGGUGUGCGGUCGGAGGAGCUGAAGGAUCUGCUCGGGCGAGCGUCUAUUUCAGAGGAUCACCGUGCUCUAAUGGGUGUGGUGAUUGAAAGAAUUGCAUCCGCGGAGAGCGGAUUGCAUGAAGCCGUCAGAAGCUUACUGACGGGGUUUGAGGUACGCAAAAAUGAUGUACCUUUUGACAGUUAUGCACAUAAAAUGCGCCCUGUAUAGAUAGUAGCCCCUGAGACUCGGUAUGUUGUCAAAAUUGACAACGUGCCGAGGAUCAAAUUCUCAGUUAUAACAUAUCGCUGCUCCUAAACAGGUGGCGGGGCGUCCGAAGGCCAGCCGGACUGAUGAAUAUGCCGAGCUAAAGCGGCGACUUGACGAGGCGGAUGCGGACAUCGCACUGGUCAAUAAACGGUUUGACGAGUCACAAGGUAUGCGACUUCUAUGCGGACACCUGGUGAGGGGGCCUGACGCCCAUGUCUUAUUAUUCGUAUGCUUAAUGUGGAUGGUGCUGCUACCGUGGAGGAGCUGCGGGCGGAACUCGCCCGAGCAAAAGAGCAAGCCCGGGUCUGUAAUGCGGCUGCUUUAAAGGCAGCCGAAGAGCUAGAAGCCGAACGGGCUGCUCACUGCCGAAGCAAAGAGGAAAUGGCCGAUAUGGCCAAAAAGUUAAGGAAUACUACCGAUCGCUACGAGGUUCUUGAAAAAGAACGUCAAGCGGAACAAGAGGGCCUAAAAAGGCCGCCGCCGAAUCCAAGAAUGCCCAAGCGGCUUUGAGAGCUGCCAAGGAGGAGCUGAGUCAGGCCGGGGCAAUUGCGGCUGGAAAACCGUUUCUGCUGCAGAGAAAAUACACAGAUCCAAAGUAUGCUCAAUUGGAUAAGUUGUGGAGUUCGGAGGAUUCUUAUCUGGACGCGGCGAGCGCUGCGGACGCGGUUGAGCACUUCCGGGGCCAGAAGGGGCACAGAAGGGAAGAGCUAUAUUGGUCUCAAUUCCAUAGUCCGGAGCGUCCUCUGUCGCUGACCGAUCAGUUGGCCGAAUGGGCCGAGCUGAAUCGGUUGUCCGGCUUUGCCAUGAAGCAUGUCCUGACUCACUUGUGGCCGGGCGAACCCCAGCCGAAGAGCUAUUUUGGUUUAGUGCAGCAGUUCCUUGGUGCGGUACCGCGUAUCGACGAAAUAAAGCAAUCAACGUGUAUUGAGGGAGCGCGGAUGGCUCUUGCCCGUGUCAAGACAUACUGGGCAGAGAUGAAGGCCACCGAUGUUGCAUCCCAAGACUCGGACAGAAGCCGAGUACCUGCCGAGCACUACUUUGAAGAAGUCCUACCGGGCGCUCGUUUAAUAGAGACGCAGUGCUCGAAGGAUAUUAUGUUUUAGAUGACAUGUAUGAUUUGUGAAAAUGAUGUUUCAAUAUAAUAUAAGAGCUUUUUAUACUUGUGCGGUCAAGUAGUAAACUACUCCCUGUGCGGCCGUUUAUGUAUAUUUGUAUAUAACCUGAAAGAUGGCAGUCCUUGGCUUCAGCCCCCACGCACAUAGUGCGGGGGUGUUUGCAAAGAAAGCGUUUUUUCACACUUAAUCCAACGUCUUGGUCCUAUUAAGGAGGUGAUAGUGUAGCAAACCAGGCAACCGAACUAUAAUGCUUUAUCACUUUCACUUAGCCAUAGGAGUUCGAGGGUGGGGCUACGAUAUAGCCCCUGGGGGCACCGCACUCUCCCGAAUUCGGGGUGCGUAUGUGCCUGACAGAAAACCGGUCCUUCGUUAAUGCGGAGGAAUCCUAAACAUUCCUGUGAGUCAUCGAGUGGUUGACCAGUCUCUCGCUAUAUCAUGACAGUCAGUUUUUGGCUUUCUCUACUGAGGUGCUCGCCCGGCCGAACCGGGGCACAAUCGUAGUAGUUCUCCUGGUGUCGCGUUAGCCGUGAAAACGGAACGUAAGGCAGCAAAACACAGGAGCCGGGCAACCCAACAUUUGACCAAAGACAUGAUUCGGAGCUGAUGCAUAUAAGGCCUAACUCGAGACGCCGAAUACUCCCUAAGGUAUUCGGUCUUUAUGAAAAUGGGCAGAAUAAUGCCCUAAGCCCCUGAUGUCCAGGUACGCGCAAAAAUUCUGGUGCGGUCAAUGCCAAAACGCCAGCCUCCUCCUCGGUUAUAAUAAGGAACCGGGGGAUGUAUAUCAACAAGAGACAGUAAAAAAGGUUUACGUAGGGUCUUAAUCUGAAAAGAAUCCUUGCAACGGGUCCCUACUGCACGUCUGCGCAUGUGUCUCUGUUGUGCCGUAUCCUGGACGGGUGUAGCACGUUGUUCAUCAGUAAAAGAGAGGAACUUAGUUUAAAAGAAAAAAAGAUUCGUGCAAAAGAUGUACUUAAUAUUAAAUAAACAGAGUAUGGUUCGAAGAAAAAGUUGAGCUUUAUUGUCUCUUGUUACACAUGCAUGUAGCCCCUCGUAUGGGGGUGUGCCGCUAGUAGGCACCGAACUCGUCUAGCCGUGUCCGAGUUUUGGAUGACCAAUUCAGGUUCUUUGCCUAGCAGAGCCGGAUAGCUUUGGGGCUGUCAAGGCAGUCUCCCGUUCUUCCGUGCUCGAGUAACACUUAAUACUUCCUUUUAGCGAGAUGAUGCCGCAUGGACCGGACAUUUUAAGUGUUAGAGAUGCAUAAUGUGGUAUUGUGUUAAAGCGGGCGAAAGCUUCGCGUCCCAAUAGUGCUUGAUGGCUACUUUUAAACGGGGCGAUAUGGAAGAGUAACCUUUCGGGACGGAAGUUGUCGGAUGAACCGAACACAACUUCUAGCAGGAUGGAGCCCGUACAAUGGGCAUAUGGUCCUGGCAUUACUCCUUUAAAGGAGGUGUUGCUACGACGGAUUUUGGUUGGGUUUAUCCCCAUCCUGCGGAUUGUAUCCUGAUAUAUCAGGUUUAUGUCACUGCCGCCAUCCAUGAGGACUCGCGUAAAUUGGAAUCCAUCGAUUAUAGGAUCCGAUAUCAGGGCAGUCCAUCCUGCGUUCCAGAUAUUUUCGGAAUAGUCAUGAUGGUCGAAGGUGAUUGGUUUUGACAACCAGUGUGCGGCGUGCCUUUUAGUGGGUGCCGCUCUGUUUUCCCUUUGAUCACGUGAAGUGAGUUUACUAUUUUAACCUCUUGUGGGAAAGUCUUUUGUUUUCCGGGGCUCUGCUUGUGGUGCUCGUCGUCAUCUUCACUUGGUGUGUCGAGCCCCUUGUGUUCGGCGUUCAGUCUGCCGGACUGUUUGAAGGCCCAACAAUUUCGGUGGGUAUGGUUAGCAGGCCUCCCAGGAGUACUGUGGAUUUGACAUAUCUUGUCCAGGAUUUUGUUGAAGUUGGAUAGCUCAUCGCUAUUGUCCUUAAGGGGCAGUUUUUUGUUGUUCUGCCGUGAGCUUUUGAAUCCGGCGUUGACUGCCGUGCUCUUUGGACUGUUCCUUUUAAUCCGGCGCUGGUCCUUGUUGCGCCGUGGUUUCCCAUUUCCAUCCCUGAUUUCGGAUGUACUUGGGUCGCUGGUGCUGCAUCUUGCUAGCCAGCUAUCCUCUCCCGCGCAAAAGCGGGUCAUGAGGCUUGUUAGUGCGGCCAUUGUUCUUGGCUUUUCUUGGCCGAGGUGUCUGGCGAGUCAUUCGUCUCGGACGUUGUGUUUGAAAGCUGCUAAGGCUUCGGCGUCCGGACAGUCGACUAUUUGGUUCUUUUUAGUAAGGAACCUGUUCUAGAAUUUCCGGGCUGACUCUCCGGACUGUUGAGUUAUGUGACUUAGAUCGUCUGCAUCCGGAGGGCGGACAUAAGUCCCCUGAAAAUUUGCCCGAAAUGCAUCCUCGAGCUCUUCCCAGCUUCCAAUGGUAUUUUCGGGGAGGCUCUUAAGCCAAUGCCGAGCUGGCCCUUUGAGUUUAAGGGGUAAGUAUUUUAUGGCGUGGUGAUCAUCUCCUCUAGCCAUGUGUAUGUGGAGGAUGUAAUCUUCAAUCCAGACUCCAGGGUCUGUUGUUCCGUCGUAUGCCUCUAUGUCUACGGGUUUGAAUCCCGCUGGAAAUUCAUGAUCCAGCACCUCAUCGAUGAAACAUAGGGGGUGUGCGGCGCCCCUAUAUUUGGGUGUGCCGUGAUCUUCGGAAUUUUGGCGUAUUGCAUUGCUAUGACGAGCAUGCUUUCUUGGCCCAUAGAUGGACCUAACUGGGCCAUCCUUUUGAUGUGAAUCCUUAUGCGGAUCACAUAUUGGCUUGUGUGCGGCACCAUUCGCCGCUCUCUUUUUGCCGUGAGGUCGUCCAUCCGACCGGGUGGCCUUCUUGCUUUUUAAUUGUGGGGGCUCUAAGGCCUCCACGUCAAAUUCGGGCAGUAGCUUUCUUUUCGGGUAGCUCUUUGUUCGGCGACUGUCGCCGUACUUGUCUGCGGUGCUGAAUACUUUGCUCCAUCUGAUCCUGAGUGCAUCUUCCGCUGUUUUGAGCUUCCGCUUCUUCUUUUUCAGGCUACGCGCAGUGGCGACGAGCCAUUUCUGGAGGUCGUUUUGCUCCAAUAGUUUGUCCGGCGUCAGAUCGUCCGGACUGUUGUCUUCGCCGGGGACAGAUUGUUUAUCCAAGUUGUCUUGUUCGGACGAUUGCUCAAUAGCUUGUUCGUUGUCCACCGGUUCGCCCUGCUCUAUGGCUGGGUCUUUAUUGAGGCGGGACUUUGUUCGGCGUUUACGCUGCCGUUUUGACUGCUUUUCGAGGUAUUUAUCCUUCGUAGCGUCCCGUUGUUCCUCGUCUUCAUUUCCUUUAGGUGUAUCCACCAUGUAUACAUCAUGAGAUGAGGUGGCUGUCCAGCAUCCUAGAGGUGCUGGCUCAUUGUUGUCUCCUACAUCAUCGUCCAUACCGUCGAUGUCUUCGGAGUCGAAGUCGAGCACGUCAUGUAAGCUUUUGACAGUGGCUACGAAGUGGGUGGUGGGUGGGCGUUGAAUUUUUUCGUCGUCCGCAUCCCAACCUCCUGACCGUAGUCCGGCCAGGGCUCUCCGGAUAAAGAGAGAGACUUUAGUGAAUUCAGGAUGUUGCCAAAGGGCGAGUGCUGAAAGAUGUCCGCGGCCGUGAACUCCAUGACCGGCGCCCAAUCGGGUUCGAUUGGCAGGGGCGCGGAGGGUUCAGAGUCCGGAGAGGAGUCCGGCACCCUGAAGUCAAGGUCUUCGCAAAGGACAGGGAUGGAGUUCGGAUCGAUCGCAGUAGAGAUUGUAGCCCCCGAGGCGGUGUCCAACCACUCAUCCUCGAUCGGGGAAUCCGGCUCCGGAUUAAGGGUCGGAGCGGAUACUGGUGCGGCCUCCAAGGCACUGUUCGGUUGCAGAGCUAGAUCAUGCCCGUCGAGACAGUGCGGCACGCUUGGCUGCGGCUCGAAUCCGUCGAAGAUCAAGUCUCCGCGGAUAUCAGCCGUAUAGUUCAAACUUCCAAAUCUGACCUGAUGGCCAGGGGCGUAGCUUUCGAUCUGCUCCAGAUGGCCAAGCGAAUUGGCCCGCAGUGCAAAGCCGCCGAACAUGAAGAUCUGUCCGGGGAGAAAAGUCUCACCCUAGACCGCGUCGUUGUUGAUGAUCGAAGGAGCCAUCGGGCCUAUCGGUGACGACACAGAGGAACUCUCAAUGAAAGCACCAAUGUCGGUGUCAAAACCGACGGAUCUCGGGUAGGGGGUCCCGAACUGUGCGUCUAGGCGGAUGGUAACAGGAGACAAGGGACACAAUGUUUUUACCCAGGUUCGGGCCCUCUCGAUGGAGGUAAUACCCUACUCCUGCUUGAUUAAUAUUGAUGAUAUGGGUAGUACAAGAGUAGAUCUACCACGAGAUCAAGGAGGCUAAACCCUAGAAGCUAGCCUAUGGUAUGAUUGUUGUUCUGUUCUACGGACUAAAACCCUCCGGUUUAUAUAGACACCGAAUAGGUUAGGGUUAAACAAAGUCGGUUACAAUGGUAGGAGAUCUACAUAUCCGUAUCGCCAAGCUUGCCUUCCACACCAAGGAAAGUCCCAUCCGGACACGGGACGAAGUCUUCAAUCUUGUAUCUUCAUAGUCUUGGAGUCCGGCCGUGACGAUAGUCCGGCUACCCGGACACCCCCUAGUCCGGGACUCCCUCAGUAAGCCAGGGAAGUAAGUUGAUCAAUCCCUGGUGAACACCGGGGCGGUGUUGGGUAAAUGCAUGGGACGUGACAGUGAGUCUUGUAGUGAGUUUGUGGCGACACCUAGUUACAAGGGUCCUGGUCUGAACAAGAAGGCAUGAGGUGAGGGUAAUGGAGGUGGCAUGAGCAACAUAGGUGUGUUAGGCGGUAAGGACGCUAUCGGCCCAUUGGUUGCCGAUGAAUGACAUGUGAUAAGGAAGGCACCUAUCAGGAGAAAUGAGUCGCCUGAUUUAGAAUUGUUGGGGCCUCGGGCAGUCUCGGAUAUUUGAAGAGCUAGUUUGCCUCGUGCACGCGUAUACCACUUGAUGAUCGUUUUACAUUCUGAAACUCAGCAAUGUGAAAGGAGUUUCAAUAAUCUUAGGUGGAUGCUAGGCCGCUAGAAUUGUAUUGUGCAUGAUGGUAAGGGCAAGGGUGUGUUGCGUUGUUGUGAGAUAAAUGAACUAAAAUAAAAAGAUUGCCAUAUACCUGACGUACAUCAAUGUCUUAAUUCAUGAUGAUUCCCAUGGACCAAAGGGAAAGAGUACCGUCGCCGAAGGGAACUACUAAAAUCCCUGGCCGAUGACUGCACUAAGCUGAGAGUGCUGCAAUAGGAUGUUUGGUCCUGGACAUUAAAGAUUUUGGCUCCAUGAUAAGCAGUACUCACUGGAUGAGAAGGAAUAUUGUAGUCACAUACUGAAUGCACCAUCUUAUUGGUUGCGGAUGGUCGGGAAAGCAUCUUAAGAAAGCAGGUCUUGGAAGGGUGGUUAAUGCCUAUCAAAAUUGUUGGGGGAGCCUCGGUGUCUCUAAACUAAUGUUUGUUGAUGACAGCCUUUUGUUCUUCAAGGCCGUAGGAAGAGAGGUGAGGGUAGUGAAGGACACUCCAAAUCUAUUUCAAAGGCGUACAUGAUAGCUUCUUAGCCCGGCUAAAUGCUCUUUAUUACUUAGUGAACAUUGCUCGCCCCAUGUCCAGUAAGAGAUAAAGGUCACCCUUGGUGUUGUGGCUUCCACUUUUGAGAGUAAAUAUUUGGAUUUACCAACCCCAGAAGGUAGGAUGUUUUCCUCGAAUUUUAGUCGAUCAUGGAAAGGUUCACAAAAAUGUGCAAGGACUGGAUUGAAAAGUAUAUGACCCAUGCAGCUAAAGUGGUCUUGAUUAAGUAAGUGGUUCAAGCGCUUCCCAAUUACUUCUUUGGAUUGUUCAAAUGUCCUUGGGCUUUUGUGAUAAGUAUGAAAAUUUUAUCUGGGACUUUAGGUGGGGCGAUGAGUAAGGACAUCACAAGGCCAUUUGGCUCUCCUGAUACCAAAUUAUAAAACAAAAGAGAGGAGGUGUUCUAGGAUUCUGGGAUAUGCAUAUGUUUAACCAAGCUCUCCUGGCAAGGCAAGGCUGGAGACUGGUUCACAAGCCGGAUAGUUUAUGUUCCAGAGUCUUGAAAUCAGAAUAUUAUCCUUGUGGGAUAUUCUGGACAUGGUCAUUUCCUCGUAUGCAUCCCCGGCUUGGAGUUAAGAUACUCAAGGAAGGCAUCAUCUGGCGUAUAGUGAAUGGACGAAAAAUUCAGAUUCAGAGAGACAACUGGAUUCUGAGACAGUAUGGCCUCAGGUUGCCAAAUUCGCUAGAAACUCAAGGUUGAGGUGGGUUAACCAGUUGAUUGUCUCGAUAAAAAAUGAAUGGAACAUUAACCUUGUCCAUAGGCUAUUUUCUGAUUUUGAUGUAGAGGAGAUAUUUCGCAUAAAUCACCCUUCUAUGUAAUGGAUGACGUGCUUAUAAACUUGCCACCAACUCAAAUUCAGGUACAAAUCCCCUGCUUCUAGCUCAUCAAGUGCGACAUAUAAUUGGAGUAUUUGGGAUGUGAUUUGGAGAGAUAAGGUUCCAGAGAAGGUUAAGGUCUUUGGCUGGAGGUUGCUACUGGCUCACUGGCUACACAAUUGUGUAAAUUUAUAAAGGCGCUGAGUGUAACACCAUUUGUGCUAUUUCUGGUAACAAUGUGGAUCACAAUUCCAAUCUCCACAGUGGCUUUGGGAUGUUGGCUAGUGUCCCAUCAAUACUUCUUUUUUGAGGGAAUUGGUGUCCCAUCAAUACUUAAUGCCCCCAUGUCUAAUGAUUGCAAUCAGUCCAUGGUAAUAUACAAGUCUAGUGGUUUCCCUCAAUUAAGUAAAAUAAACACAACUCGAAGAUCAACUAAUUUUUACCUUAAUUUUUCUAGAAAAAAUAGGGCGAGUUCUUCCCUUACCUUCUUCAAUGUUGAUAGCGGAGGGCGAAGUGGAGGCAACAACUAACUUCUCCGAUGCCAGUCGUGGCAAGACGUGGCCAUCGGAGAUAGUAUGCCGCUUUCCUCCAUCGCCAAUCAUCAUGUUGGCUCCAGAUCUGGAAAAAAUGGUUGGUCGCCCACACCUAGGACUCCAGAUCUAGAUGUAGUUGGUUGCCCAACUGCGGCGACUCCAAAUCUGGAUGCGGUUGGUCGCCCACACCUAGGACUCCAGAUAUGGAUGGAAACACAGUAGGAGCCUACGCGGUUUGUCUCAACGCAUCAUCCACCGCUCAAUCGUGGGCGGUUCAAGCGCAGUCUCGGCGUGGAUGUCAAGGGGAAGGGGGAACGUGUGUGACGAGAGAGAGAGCGAGGGGAGGGAGAGAGAGAAAGCGAGGACAGGAGGAGACUAGCGUGUGGGUUUGUUCGUUAUAGAAAAGCUUUACCUAUAGAUUAUUAUGUGAGCCUGCAUACCACAACAAGACCUCCCGUCCUCACGUUUAAAUUGCCCCGCCCUCUCCCACGUGGUGGGCCCACUUCUCACCCUACCGCUCCCAAAAAAGCGUGUAGGACGAGAGUUGUGCGUGUUGGUCAGUUUGCUCGCUGGAGCGAGCAAACGCCAGGGAGUCAAUAUGAGGUGCUCCCAGCAAGGAGACGAAAGACACCAUGCAACAUGCUCCGACCGACCAUGAUUCCUGCAUACAAAUAGUGAACCAUCGGAAGCAAUGACCUUACCUCACUGACCAGACACCCGCGGCUCCACUCCCACACACAUGAUGUCAGCGUGAGGUACUCAAUGUUCUCCUAGAAUUCUUGUAGCUGUUCGCCCAUAUUUUUAUUCAUGUUUCUCCCUGUCAACCAAGACCCCUCUACUGAAUUUCCCUUUGACUUGAGAAUGACGGCAGAGACGGAGCGCUUCAGAACGGGCCCUAACACCGGAACAUGCAACCACCGUGAUGUGGAGCACGCACGAGAAGAGAUCCACAGGAAUGGGGAUUAGCAACAUUAAGUAAUGUUUUAUACAAGGGUCCUGGUCUAAGUAAUCUGUGUUUAGCAACAUUAAGCUACAAAGUCGUUGUAGUAUAGUGGUAAGUAUUCCCGCCUGUCACGCGGGUGACCCGGGUUCGAUCCCCGGCAACGGCGCAUUUUUUUGUUUGGUUUGCCGGCCCACGACAGGCCACGCCGAUCCACUGCGUCCGAUGGAAGCUCCUGUUUUUUUUUAGGGUAAGCUACGUGCUGAAAAACAAAAUGUAAAGAAAAAAUAUAAUUUUCAUUGAGGGAGAACUGGGAAUCGAACUCACGAGGACCACGUGACUGAAAUAACCUAACCACUGCACCACCGUCAGUUACUUGCUAGCUUUCGUAAAACAGCCCUCUUUGACCUUUACUUCAGUAUAAACAUUAAACGUAUAUACUACUCCCUCCGUCCCAAAGUAAGUGUGUCAACUUUGUACUAGCUCUAGUACAAAUUUGUACUAAGCUCAAGACACUUUUUUUGAGACGGAGGGAGUAUUAUAUACCCACUAUAAAUUAUAUUUGAAUAAAGAAAAUAUAAACGUGAAAACGCAUUCACAUAAAACAUGAAUUCAAAAGAAAUGUUCACAAAAAUAGAAAAAAGAUUGUGAAUUUGGAAAAAAAUCAUCAAAUCUUAAAAAAAAGUUCAUCAAAUUUGAAAAAAGUUCACAAAAAUGAAGAGAGUUCACCUAAAUUGAAAAAGUUCAUUGAAUUUCAAAAAAAGAUCAUCAAAUUUGAAAAAAAGUUCAUCGUAUUUGAAAGAAGUUUAUUGAAUUUGAAAAAAAAUUCACCGAAAUUGAAAUAGUUCAUCGAAAUUGAGAAAAGUUCAUCGGAUUUGAGUAAAGUUCAUCGUAUUUGAAAAAAAGUUCACCGAAAUUUAAAAAAGUGCAUCGAUAUUGAGAAAAGUUCAUCAAAUUUGAAAAAUAGUUCAUGAAUUUAUAAAGACUUCAUAAAUUUAGAAAAAGGUACACGAAAUUUAUAAAACGGUGCAUUAAAGAAAACAAAAAAGAAUGAGAAAAAAAGAAAAAGUAUAAACCAAACUGAAUAAGGAAUAUAAGAAGAGAAACAAACUUUUUGUCCACUAGCGUGGUGAUGGCGUGGUGGUUAGUGCGUAGCGGUAGGAUCAGAGAGGUUGAGGGGUCGAACUCUUCCACGCGAGCACUUUUUGCCGUUUUCGAAAGUAUCCCGUUCGCUCUAGAGCCCUGCCAACACAUUUUGUGUCGGGCUACAAAUUUGUUGUUGCAAGGGCAAAGCAUGCGCGUGCUUAAGGACUACUAGAAUCUAGUCAUUGCCCAAAUGCUUAUAAUGAUACCGCUGAUUUUGAUAAAAGAAACACUUUGCUUUUGGUCUGUGCGUGCUACUUUUGGUUUGUUGGUUUUCCGGCUAUAUUUGCUAGCUCAAAUUUAGAUAAACCAGCUUUACAUUUGUAGACCAAAUGAGUUCGUGUUAUAUGUUAUAUAUGCGUUCAUAUUGGUCUUUUUCUCCAAUUGAGCCGGCAGAAGUUGCCUGAUUUUUGGAUUUGGCUCAGUUGAUUUAAUUGGGAAGGAAGAAGGAAGCGCAACGGGGCAUGGUGUCCGCCUUUGGUGGCAACGGGGCAUGGUGUCCGCCUUUGGUGGCACCGGGGCAAGACGUCGGCAAGGCCUCAGCUAGGAACGAGCCGUAGCCGCCGGAGGCUAGUUCAAAGGUUAAUGGUUCGGGCUGCGGGCUCGCAGAGAAAUUCUAGUGGUUUCUCUGUUUAGAGGGAUGGCCAGGGUGGCAGCAACACGAUGGUGAGGAGAAAGGGGUGGCGGAGGCAGGCGGUUCAGCCGAUAGUCAUGGACAGGUUGAGGAAGAAGGUGAAUAGGGGAGGACAGUAGGUGGAAGAAGGCCAUCUGGUCAUUGGUUGUUCAUCGGGCGUUUCAAAAAAAUCAAUCCAUCCAAAUCCUUUUUUAAUCGCCCGCCCUCUAGCAAUCCACUUUUUCCUCAUGGGUAACUGUGUCAAGAUGAUGUUUAGACCCCAAUAAGGGUUGGACUAUAUAUUUGUUUGUUUUGUUCUUCGAGUUGCAUAUAUAGAACAGAAAUAGAAUUUAAGCUAUUCUCGUCUUCACUAGAAUCAUUUAUCCAUCCAGAUCUAUGCUCAUGCAUUGUUGUUAAUGUACUUACAUUCUUCUAUCUGCAUGGGCCAUUGUCUAACAUCUCAACUCUUGGUUCCAUCAUCCCUAGUAUCAAUGAUCAUUGUCGAGACUAUACACACCAUUUUCUCGUUGGUCCUUUCUCAUUUCAUUCACCGGAGCGGCUGUAGCCCUCCGUGUAGGGUCGGCGGCACGAGGAGGGGUUGUCGGUGUCGUUCCUGAUGUUAGAGUCUUCGGACAGGGAUUGAUUGUUCGCUUUUUGGCGUUUUCGAAAAGUAUCCCGUUCGCUCUAGAGCCCUGCCAACACAUUUUGUGUCGGGCUACAAAUUUGUUGUUGCAAGGGCAAAGCAUGCGCGUGCUUAAGGACUACUAGAAUCUAGUCAUUGCCCAAAUACUUAUAAUGAUACCGCUGAUUUUGAUAAAAGAAACACUUUGCUUUUGGUCUGUGCGUGCUACUUUUGGUUUGUUGGUUUUCCAGCUAUAUUUGCUAGCUCAAAUUUAGAUAAACCAGCUUUACAUUUGUAGACCAAAUGAGUUCGUGUUAUAUGUUAUAUAUGCGUUCAUAUUGGUCUUUUUCUCCAAUUGAGCCGGCAGAAGUUGCCUGAUUUUUGGAUUUGGCUCAGUUGAUUUAAUUGGGAAGGAAGAAGGAAGCGCAACGGGGCAUGGUGUCCGCCUUUGGUGGCAACGGGGCAUGGUGUCCGCCUUUGGUGGCACUGGGGCAAGACGUCGGCAAGGCCUCGGCUAGGAACGAGCCGUAGCCGCCGGAGGCUAGUUCAAAGGUUAAUGGUUUGGACUGCGGGCUCGCAGAGAAAUUCUAGUGGUUUCUCUGUUUAGAGGGAUGGCCAGGGUGGCAGCAACACGAUGGUGAGGAGAAAGGGGUGGCGGAGGCAGGCGGUUUAGCCGAUAGUCAUGGACAGGUUGAGGAAGAACGUGAAUAGGGGAGGACAGUAGGUGGAAGAAGGCCAUCUGGUCAUUGGUUGUUCAUCGGGCGUUUCAAAAAAAUCAAUCCAUCCAAAUCCUUUUUUAAUCGCCCGCCCUCUAGCAAUCCACUUUUUCCUCAUGGGUAACUGUGUCAAGAUGAAUCAAUCCAUCCAAAUCCUUUUUUAAUCGCCCGCCCUCUAGCAAUCCACUUUUUCCUCAUGGGUAACUGUGUCAAGAUGAUGUUUAGACCCCAAUAAGGGUUGGACUAUAUAUUUGUUUGUUUUGUUCUUCGAGUUGCAUAUAUAGAACAGAAAUAGAAUUUAAGCUAUUCUCGUCUUCACUAGAAUCAUUUAUCCAUCCAGAUCUAUGCUCAUGCAUUGUUGUUAAUGUACUUACAUUCUUCUAUCUGCAUGGGCCAUUGUCUAACAUCUCAACUCUUGGUUCCAUCAUCCCUAGUAUCAAUGAUCAUUGUCGAGACUAUACACACCAUUUUCUCGUUGGUCCUUUCUCAUUUCAUUCACCGGAGCGGCUGUAGCCCUCCGUGUAGGGUCGGCGGCACGAGGAGGGGUUGUCGGUGUCGUUCCUGAUGUUAGAGUCUUCGGACGGGGAUUGAUUGUUCACGUGUUAUGAAAUUGGUCCUAAUUUGAUAGGUAUUUAAGAGGGAUAUUUUUUUUAGAACGAGGGCUCAAGAAGAGCCCGGCUUUGAAUUAACAAAGUCAUCAACUGGCCAGGAUUACAAACUCGAAACCAACACAAGAAAGAUAAGAAAAUGGCAAUAUACAAAGGCUCUGGAAAGCAGCCCACAAAGCCUCAUACACACCAAGCUAAAAAGAUCGAUAGGGAGAAACACAGCUUGAAGAUGAAGAGGUCCUCCACGCGACCAGAACGCCAUGGAAGAAGAAGAAUGCCCACACUGGAUCAACAUGUCCAACGACAAAGAAGGGCAUGCCGUCGCCUAAUCAUCAACAGCCCCGACCCUACACAUCCGCCCAGCUCCAAUGUCAAAGAAGGCCCCUGCCUCCUCUCCUGGCUCGAAAGGCGCCGCACCAUUGACAAGAGGAGCAGUUCACCCUAGAACCUGGGAGAUAGUCGCCGGCAGGCUACAUCUAAAAAGAAAACAAACUCACCCAACAAGUCACGAACACAUCACCAAGAGCAUAGCACCGCCGAAUCCCACGGACUAGUCACAAAAAGGAAGAGUUGCCGGAACGGAUAAAGAUGAGCAACAACUAGAUCUCUUUGGAAGACAUUGAGAACCGAAGUGCAGGUACCGAAAGAGGGGCUAAUACUCGUAUGGUGCACUGAGAAGGGUCGUCAAAUGAGGGGAACCCGAUCCCCUCACGCCCAGGAGAAUCCACAGGCCAGACAGAGCACCCCACAGUAGACCGGAGAGCUCCCAAAAUGAAGGAGUCAUUUAGGAAGUCGAGGUCAUCGAGGGAGAUCAGCUACAGCCGCCGCUACACACGAAACACAUCUCUGAGAAACCCCACGCCCGCCUUGCUCCCAAAACCGGCGCCUUCAGGAAGGACGUGACACCAAGGGCGCCGCCGCCGCCCAACAGUGUUGGGGAUUUCUCCCGGGAGGCAAGGAGGGGAAGGGGGCAGAGGAACAGACCCAAGCGGCACCUCCAAGGAGGGGAACGGUGUUGGGGAACGUUGCGUGGGAAACAAAAAAAUUCCUACGCUCACCAAGAUCAAUCUAGGAGAUGAACAUCUACGAGAGAAGAGAUUGCAUCUACAUACCCUUGUAGAUCGCUAAGCGGAAGCGUUAAGAAACGCGGUUGAUGUAGUCGAACGUCUGAUGUCUACUAGACAACCUUUUUCUUGUAGACGUUGUUGGGCCUCCAAGUGAAGAGGUUUGUAGGACAGUAGCAAAUUUCCCUCAAGUGGAUGACCUAAGGUUUAUCAAUCUGUGGGAGGCAUAGGAUGAAGAUAGUCUCUCUCUCAAACAACCCUGCAACCAAAUAACAAAGAGUCUCUUGUGUCCCCAACACACGCAAUACAAUGGUAAAUUGUAUAGGUGCACUAGUUCGGCGAAGAGAUGGUGAUACAAGUGCAAUAUGGAUGGUAGAUAUGAGUAUUUGUAAUCUGAAAAUAUAAAAAAGCAAGGUAACAAGUGGCAAAAGUGAGCGUAAACGGUAUUGCAAUGCUAGGAAACAAGGCCUAGGGUUCAUACUUUCACUAGUGCAAGUUCUCUCAACAAUAAUAACAUAACUGGAUCAUAUAACUAUCCCUCAACAUGCAACAAAGAGUCACUCCAAAGUCACUAGUAGCGGAGAACAAACAAAGAGAUUAUUGUAGGGUAUGAAACCACCUCAAAGUUAUCCUUUCUGAUCGAUCUAUUCAAGAGUCCGUAGUAAAAUAACACGAAGCUAUUCUUUCCGUUCGAUCUAUCAUAGAGUUCGUACUAGAAUAACACCUUAAGACACAAAUCAACUAAAACCCUAAUGUCACCUAGAUACUCCAAUGUCACCUCAAGUAUCCGUGGGCAUGAUUAUACGAUAUGCAUCACACAAUCUCAGAUUCAUCUAUUUAACAAACACAAAGUACUUCAAAGAGUGCCCCAAAGUUUCUACCGGAGAGUCAAGACGAAAACGUGUGCCAACCCCUAUGCAUAAGUUCAUUGAACCCGCAAGUUGAUCACCAAAACAUACAUCAAGUAGAUCACAUGAAUAUCCCAUUGUCAACAUAGAUAAGCACGACAAGACAUACAUCAAGUGUUCUCAAAUCCUUAAAGACUCAAUCCGACAAGACAACUUUGAUAACCCAUAAGUAUAGGGGAUCGCAACGGUUUUCGAGGGUAUAGUAUUCAAUCCAAAUUUAUUGAUUCGACACAAGGGGAGCCAAAGAAUAUUCUCAAGUAUUAGCAGUUGAGUUGUCAAUUCAACCACACCUGGAUAACUUAAUAUCUUCAGCAAAGUAUUUAGUAGCAAAGAAGUAUGGAAGUAACAGUAACAGUAGCAAAAGUAACAGUAGCAGUUUUAUAGUAAUUGUAACAGUAGCAACGGUAAAGUAAAUAAGCAAAGAACAAUAUGUGAAAAGCUCGUAGGCAUUGGAUCUGUGAUGGAUAAUUAUGUCGGAUGCGAUUCCUCAUGUAAUAGUUAUAACAUAGGGUGACACAGAACUAGCUCCAGUUCAUCAAUGUAAUGUAGGCAUGUAUUCCGAAUAUAGUCAUACGUGCUUAUGGAAAAGAACUUGCAUGACAUCUUUUGUCCUACCCUCCCGUGGCAGCGGGUCCUAAUGGAAACUAAGGGAUAUUAAGGCCUCCUUUUAAUAGAGUACCAGACCAAAGCAUUAAUUAGCACAUAGUGAAUACAUGAACUCCUCAAACUACGGUCAUCACCGAGAAGUAUCCCGAUUAUUGUCACUUCAGGGUUGUCGGAUCAUAACACAUAAUAGGUGAAUAUAGACUUGCAAGAUAGGAUCAAAAACUCACAUAUAUUCAUGAAAACGUAAUAGGUUCAGAUCUGAAAUCAUGGCACUCGGGCCCUAGUGACAAGCAUUAAGCAUAGCAAAGUCGUAGCAACAUCAACCUCAGAACAUAGUGGAUACUAGGGAUCAAACCCUAACAAAACUAACUUGAUUACAUGGUAAAUCUCAUCCAACUCAUCACCGUCCAGCAAGCCUAUGAUGCAAUUACUCACGCACGGCGGUGAGCAUCAUGAAAUUGGUGAUGGAGGAUGGCUUAUGAUGAUGACGGCGACGAAUCCCCCUCUCCGGAGCCCCAAACGGACUCCAGAUCAGCCCUCUCGAGAGAGAUUAGGGCUUGGCGGCGGCUCCGUAUCGUAAAACGCGAUGAAACUUUCUCUCUGAUUUUUUUCUCCACGAAAGCAAAUAUAUGGAGUUGGAGUUGAGGUCGGUGGACGUCCAGGGGGCCCACGAGGCAGGGGGGCACGCCCCCCACCCUCGUGGACAGGGUGUGGGGCCCCUGACGUUGAUUCUUUAUUUUUUAUUAAUUCUGAAAAGUUGCUCUGUGGAUUUUCAUGUCAUUCCGAGAAUUUUUAUUUCUGCACAAAAAUAACACCACGGCAGUUCUGCUGGAAACAGCAUCAGUCCGGGUUAGUUCCAUUCAAAUCAUGCAAGUUAGAGUCCAAAACAAGGGCAAAAGUGUUUGGAAAAGUAGAUACGACGGAGACGUAUCAAACUUCAAGGGGAAAACUCAAUUCAUCACAAGAGAGUAGAGGAGGAGAAACAUCAUAAGAUCCAACUAUAAUAGCAAAGCUCGCGAUACAUCAAGAUCGUAUCACCUCAAGAACACGAGAGAGAGAGAUAGAUCAAACACAUAGCUACUGGUACAUACCCUCAGCCCCGAGGGUGAACUAGUCCCUCCUCGUCAUGGAGAGCGCCGGGAUGAUGAAGAUGGCCACCAGUGAGGGAUCCCCCCUUCGGUAGGGUGCCGGAACAGGGUACCGAUUGGUUUUUGGUGGCUACAGAGGCUUGCGGCGGCGGAACUUCCGAUCUAUUAUGCUCCUCGAUGUUUUUAGGGUAUAUGGACAUAUAUAGGCGAAAGGAGUCGGUCAAGGGAGCCACGAGGGGCCCACGAGGGUGGGGCACGCCCAGGGGGGUAGGGUGCGGCCCUGACCCUCGUGGCCACCUCGAAGCUUCCCUGACGUAUACUCCAAGUCUCCUGGAUUGCUUCCGUUCCAAAAAUAACUCUCCCAAAGGUUUCAUUCCGUUUGGACUCCGUUUGAUAUUCCUUUUCUUCGAAACACUGAAAUAGGCAAGAAAACAGCAAUUUGGGCUGGGCCUCCGGUUAGUAGGUUAGUCCCAAAAAUGAUAUAAAAGUGUAGAGUAAAGCCCAUAAACAUCCAAAACGGGUAAUAUAAUAGCAUGGAACAAUCAAAAAUUAUAGAUACGUUGGAGACGUAUCAAGCAUCCCCAAGCUUAAUUCCUGCUCGUCCUCGAGUAGGUAAAUGAUAAAACAGAAUUUUAGAUGUGGAAUUCUACCUAGAAUAUUUCUCAAUGUAAUUUUUUUUAUUGUGAGAUGAAUGUUCAGAUCCAAAUGAUUCAAAAUAAAAAGUUCAUAUUGACAUAAGAAAUAGUAAUACUUCAAGCACACUAACAAGUAAUCAUGUCUUCUCAAAAUAACAUGGCCAAAGAAAGUUUAUCCCUACAAAAUCAUAUAGUUAGGCUAUGCUUCAUUUUCGUCACACAAAAUACUCCCAUCAUGCACAACCUCGGUUUCAUCCAAGCAAUUGGUUCAUACUUUUUAACGCGCUUCAGCCUUUUUCAACUCUCACGCAAUACAUGAGCGUAAGCCAUGGAUAUAGCACUAUGGGUGGAAUAGAAUAUGAUGAUGGAGCUUGUGUGGAGAAGACAAAAAAGGAGAAAGUCUCACAUUGACGAGGCUAAUCAACGGGCUAUGGAGAUGCCCAUCAAUUGUUGUCAACAUGAGGAGUAGGGAUUGCCAUGCAACGGAUGCACUAGAGCUAUAAAUGUAUGAAAGCUCAACAAAAGAAACUAAGUGGGUGUGCAUCCAUUUUGCUUGCUCAUGAAGACCUAGGGCAUUUUGAGAAAGCCCAUCGUUGGAAUAUACAAGCCAAGUUCUAUAAUGAAAAAUUCCCACUAGUAUAUGAAAGUGACAACAUAGGAGACUCUCUAUAUGAAGAACAUGGUGCUACUUUGAAGCACAAGUGUGGAAAAAGAUAGUAACAUUGUCCCCCCCCCCUUUUUGGGCCUUUCUUCCUUUUUGGCCUUUUUUAUUGGCCUUUUUUUAAUGGCCUUUUUUAUUUGGCCUUUCUUUUUUAUAAGGGACAAUGCUCUAAUAAUGAUGAUCAUCACACUUCUAUUUACUUACAACUCAUGAAUUACAACUCGAUACUAGAACAAAAUAUGACUCUAUAUGAGUGCCUCCGGCGAUGUACGGGAUAUGCAAUGAAUCAAGAGUGACAUGUAUGAAAAUUAUGAAGGUGGCUUUGCUACAAAUACGAUGUCAACUACAUGAUCAUGCAAAAGCAACAUGACAAUGAUGAUGCAUGUCAUGAUAAACGGAACAGUGGAAAGUUGCAUGGCAAUAUAUCUCGGAAUGGCUAUGGAAAUGCCAUAAUAGGUAGGUAUGGUGGCCGUUUUGAGGAAGAUAUAAGGAGGUUUAUGUGUGAUAGAGCAUAUCGUAUCACAGGUUUGGAUGCACCGGCGAAGUUUGCACCAACUCUCAAGGUGAGAAAGGGCAAUGCACGGUACCGAAGUGGCUAGCAAUGAUGGAAGGGUAAGAGUGCGUAUAAUCCAUGGACUCACAUUAGUCAUAAAGAACUCAUAUACUUAUUGCAAAAGUUUUAUUAGCCCUCGAAGCAAAGUACUACUAAGCAUGCUCCUAGGGGGAGGUUGGUAGGAGUUAACCAUCGCGCGCCCCGACCUCCACACAUAAGGAUGGCAAUUAAAAGAGCACCCCAUGCAACAAAUUUGUUACACAACUUUUACCAUACGUGCAUGCUACAGGACUUGCCAACUUCAACACAAGUAUUUCUCAAUCUCAUAAUUACCCAACUAGCAUGACUCUAAUAUUACCACCUUUAUAUCUCAAAACAAUUAUCAAGCAUCAAAUUGAUCAUAACAUCCAAUUCACUUUCUAUGAUAGUUUUUAUUAUACCCAAAUUGGAUGCCCAUCAUUCUAGGACCAAUUUUAUAACCAUAGCAAAUACCAUGUUGUUCUAAAAGACUCUCAAAAUAAUAUAAGUGAAGCAUGAGAGAUUAACAAUUUCUAAAAAAUAAAACCGUCGUCGUGCUCUAAAAAUAUAUAAGUGAAGCACUAGAGCAAUAUUGUCUAGCUCAAAAGAUAUAAGUGAAGCACAUAGAGUAUUCUAAUAAAUUCCGAAGCAUGUGUGUCUCUCCCAAAAGGUGUGUAAAGCAAGGAUGAUUGUGGUAAACUAAAAAGCAAAGACUCAUAUCAUACAAGACGCUCCAAGCAAAACACAUAUCAUGUGGUGAAUAAAAAUAUAACUCCAAGUAAAGUUACCGAUAGACGAAGACGAAAGAGGGGAUGCCAUCUGGGGCAUCCCCAAGCUUAGGCUCUUGGUUGUCCUUGAAUAUUACCUUGGGGUGCCUUGGGCAUCCCCAAGCUUAGGCUCUUGCCACUCCUUAUUCCAUAGUCCAUCGAAUCUUUACCCAAAACUUGAAAACUUCACAACACAAAACUCAACAGAAAACUCGUAAGCUCCGUUAGUAUAAGAAAAUAAUUCACCACUUAUGUACUGUUGUGAACUCAUUAUAAAUUUGUAUGGGUGUAAUAUCUACUGUAUUCCAACUUCUCUAUGGUUCAUACCCUCCGAUACUACUCAUAGAUUCAUCAAAAUAAGCAAACAACACAUAGAAAACAGAAUCUGUAAAAAAAACAGAACAGUUUGUAGUAAUCUGUAUCAUUCGAAUACUUCUAUAACUCCAAAACUUCUACCAAAUUAUGAAAACCUGAGUAAUUUGUGUACCAAUCCAUAGCAAAAAGAAUUAGAUCAAAAUCACGUUUCUGUGAAUUAUCAAAACUAAUUUACUUGGUGCAAAAGUUUCUGAUUUUCAGCAGGAUCAACACAACUAUCACCGUAAGCUAUUCUAAAGGUCUUACUUGGCACUUUAUUGAAACAAAAGCUAUAAAACAUGAUUAUUACAGUAGUAUAAUCAUGUGGACACACAAAAAUAGUAAAGGUAAAUAUUGGGUUGUCUCCUAACAAGCGAUUUUCUUUAAUGCCUUUUAGCUAGGCAUGAUGGUUUCAAUGAUGCUCGCAUAAAAGAUAAGAACUGAAACAUAAAGAGAGCAUAAUGUAGCAUAUUACUAACACAUUUAAGUCUAACCCACUUCCUAUGCAUAGGGAUUUUGUGAGCAAACAACUUAUGGGAACAAUAAUCAACUAGCAUAGGAAGGCAAAACAAGCAUAACUUCAAGAUUUUAAGCACAUAGAGAUGAGACUUGAUAUUAUUGCAAUUCCUACAAGCAUAUGUUCCUCCCUCAUAAUAAUUUUCAGUAGCGUCAUGAAUGAAUUCAACAAUAUAACCAGCACCUAAAGCAUUCUUUUCAUGAUCUACUUGCAUAGAAAUUUUACUACUCUCCACAUAAGCAAAAUCUUCUUAUUCGGAAUAGUGGGAGUAUCAUAAGAGACUCGAAUACUAUAAAUUGUUUCCACAUUAAAAGAGUAGUGUUAAGAAAAGGGGUAAUCAUAAUUAUGACAAGUUUUAUAAAUAUAAUCAUCACUACUUUUUAUAGCAUAAGUUUCAUCAAAAUAAUCAUCAUAAGUAGCAACUUUGUUCUCAUCAUAAUCAAUUGAAACCUUUUCCAAAAUAGUGGAUUCACCACUAAAUAACGUCAUGACCUCUCCAAAUCCACUUUCAUAAAUAUCAAAAUAAGAUUCAGCAUUCUCCAAAAUAGUGGGAUCAUUACUUCCUAAAGUUGACACUCUUCCAAACCCACUUUCAACAAUAUAAUCAUCAUAAGUAGGAGGCAUGAUAUCAUCAUAACAACUUUGCAUAUCAAAACUUGGGAGGCUAAAAAUAUCACCUUCAUUAAACGUAGCAUCCCCAAGCUUGGGACAAACAUUAAUUGCAGCAAAUAUAUUCUCAAACAUGUCAUUUUCAUCAAACAUAGCAUCCCCAAGCUUGGGCCUUUUCAUAUCAUAAGCGUAAUCACACUCAUCAUUAAUAGUAUGGAUAGCACCAAUAGUAUAACAAUUAUCAUCAUCACAAUGAGUAAUAGGAGCAACAUCAUUUGGGAGGGAUACCUUUCUACCUUUGCUUCUCCAUCUCUUCUUUUUCUUCUUCACAUCGUGUGUGGGUUUAACUCUCUUUUUGGAGCUCCUUAUUAAUGAGAUUGGUUGAAUAGAAAGCUCCUCCUCGUUAAUAAUAGGAGGAUAUUGGGAAGUCUCUUCCCUUUCAUUAGUAUUCUCUUCAUCUUCUAUUUGCUUUCUUAUAGAUCACUGAAUAUGAUAUGUUUGAUUCCUUGCAAUAGUUUUGCGAUAUGAAGAUGGUGAUAUUAGAGUCAUGCUAGUGGGUAGUUGUGGAUUGUAGAAAUACUUGUGUUGAAGUUCGUGAUUCCCGUAGCAUGCACGUAUGGUGAACCGUUAUGUAACGAAGUUGGAGCAUGAGGUAUUUAUUGAUUGUCUUCCUUAUGAGUGGUGGUCGGAGACGAGCGAUGGUCUUUUCCUACCAAUCUACCCCCCUAGGAGCAUGUGCGUAGUACUUUGUUUCGAUGACUAAUAGAUUUUUGCUAUAAGUAUGUGAGUUCUUUAUGACUAAUGUUGAGUCCAUGGAUUAUAUGCACUCUCACCCUUCCAUCAUUGUUAGCCUCUUCGGUACCAUGCAUUGCCCUUUCUCACCUCGAGAGUUGGUGCAAACUUCGUCGGUGCAUCCAAACCCCGUGAUACGAUACACUCUAUCACACAUAAGCCUCCUUAUAUCUUCCUCAAAACAGCCACCAUACCUACCUAUCAUGGCAUUUCCAUAGCCAUUCCGAGAUAUAUUGCCAUGCAACUUCCAUCAUCAUCAUAUACAUGACUUGAGCAUUCAUUGUCAUGCAUAUUACUUUGCAUGAUCGUAAGAUAGCUAGCAUGAUGUUUUCAUGGCUUGCCCGUUUUUUGAUGUCAUUGCUAUGCUAGAUCAUUACACAUCCCGGUACACCGCCGAAGGCAUUCGUAUAGAGUCAUAUCUUUGUUUUAGAUAUCGAGUUGUAAUAUUGAGUUGUAAGUAAAUAUAAGUGUGAUGAUCAUCAUUAUUAGAGCAUUGCCCCAUGGAAAAAAAUAGGCCAAAGAAGCCUAAAUAAAAAGGUGGGGGGUGGGGCAAAGAAGACCGCCAAAAAAAAGAGAAAAAAGGGGGCAAUGUUACUAUCCUUUUACCACACUUGUGCUUCAGAGUAGCACCAUGUUCUUCAUAUAGAGAGUCUCCUAUAUUGUCACUUUCAUAUACUAGUGGGAAUUUUCAUUAUAGAACUUGGCUUGUAUAUUCUGAUGAUGGGCUUCCUCAAAUGCGUGAGGUCUUCAUGAGCAAGCAAGUUGGAUGCACACCCACUUAGUUUCCAGUUUGAGCUUUCAUACACUUAUAGCUCUUAGUGCAUCCGUUGCAUGGCAAUCCCUACUCCUCGCAUUGACAUCAAUUGAUGGGCAUCUCCAUAGCCCGUUGAUUAGCCGCAUCAAUGUGAGACUUUCUCCCUUUUUGUCUUCUCCACACAACCUCCACCAUCAUAUUCUAUUCCACCUAUAGUGCUAUGUCCAUGGCUCACACUCAUGUAUUGCAUGAAAGUUGAAAAGGUUUGAGAACGUCAAAAGUAUGAAACAAUUGCUUGGCUUGUCAUCGGGGUUGUGCAUGAUUUGAGUAUUUUGUGUGGUGAAGAUGGAGCAUAGCCAGACUAUAUGAUUUUGUAGGGAUAACUUUCUUUGGCCAUGUUGUUUUGAAAAGACAUGAUUGCUUUAUUAGUACAUUUGAAGUAUUAUCAUUUUUAUGUCAAAUGAUAGAUUAUUGCUUUGAAUCACUCGUGUCUUAAUAUUCAUGCCAUGAUUAUAUAUAUGAUCAAGAUUAUGCUAGGUAGCAUUCCACAUCAAAAAUUAUCUUUUUAUCAUUUACCUACUCGAGGACGAGCAAGAAUUAAGCUUGGGGAUGCUGAUACGUCUCCGUCGUAUCUAUAAUUUUUGAUUGCUCCAUGCCAAUAUUAUUCAACUUUCACAUACUUCUUUUGGCAACUUUUUAUAAUAUUUUUGGGACUAACAUAUUGAUCCGGUGCCCAGUGCCAGUUCCUUUUUGUUGCAUGUUUUAUGUUUCACAGAAAACCCAUAUCAAACGGAGCUAAACGGGAUAAAAACGGACGGAGAAUAUUUUUGGAAUAUUUGUGAUAUUUGGGAAGAAAAAUCAACGCGAGACGGUGCCCGAGGGGGCCACGAGGCAGGGGGCAUGCCCCUGACCCUCGUGGGCACCCCGUAAGGCGGUUGCUGCUCUUCUUUGGCCGCAAGAAAGCUAAUUUUUGAGAAAAAAAUCUUGGCGAAGGUUUCAGUCCAAUCGGAGUUACGGAUCUCCGGAUAUAUACGAAACGGUGAAAGGGCAGAAUCAAGAACGCAGAAACAGAGAGAGGCAGAGAGACAGAUCCAAUCUCGGAGGGGCUCUCGCCCCUCCCAUGCCAUGGAAGCCAAGGACCAGAGGGGAAACCCUUCUCCCAUCUAGGGAGAAGGUCAAGGAAGAAGAAGAAUAAGGGGGGCUCUCUCCCCCUCGCUUCCGGUGGCGCCGGAACACCGCCGGGGCCAUCAUCAUCACCAUGAUCUACACCAACAACUCCACCGCCUUCAUCACCAACUCUUCCCUCCUCUAUGCAGCGGUGUAACCCCUCUUUUACCUAAUGUAAUCUCUACUUAAACAUGGUGCUCAACGCUAUAUAUUAUUUCCCAAUGAUGUAUAGCUAUCUUAUGAUGUUUGAGUAGAUCCGUUUUGUCCUAUGGGUUAAUUGAUGAUCGUGAUUGGUUUGAAUUGCAUGUUUUAUUAUUGGUGCUGUCCUAUUGUGCCCUCCGUGUCGCGCAAGCAUGAGGGAUUCCCGCUGUAGGGUGUUGCAAUAUGUUCAUGAUUCGCUUAUAGUGGGUUGCUUGAGUGACAGAAGCAUAAACCCGAAUAAGGGGGUUCUGGCGUAUGGGAUAAAGGGGACUUGAUGCUUUAAUGCUAUGGUUGGGUUUUACCUUAAUGAUCUUUAGUAGUUGCGGAUGCUUGCUAGAGUUCCAAUCAUAAGUGCAUAUGAUCCAAGAAGAGAAAGUAUGUUAGCUUAUGCCUCUCCCUAAAAAAAAUUGCAAUAGUGAUUACCGGUUUAGUUAUCGAUUGCCUAGGGACAAAUAACUUUCUCGUGACAAAAAGCUCUCUAUUAAAACUAACUUAGUUUUGUCUUCAUCUAAACAGCCCCUACUUUUUAUUUACGUGCUCUUUAUUAUCUUGCAAACCUAUCCUAUCAUACCUGCAAAGUCCUUAUAGUUUCUUACUUGUUCUAGGUAAAGCGAACGUCAAGCGUGCAUAGAGUUGUAUCGGUGGUCGAUAGAACUUGAUGGAAUAUUUGUUCUACCUUUAGCUCCUCGUUUUGUUCAACACUCUUAUUAUCGAAAGAGGCUACAAUUUAUCCCCUAUACUUGUGGGUUAUCACGCCACCAGACCUUUUUUGCCCUCCAUGCAGUCACGUUCUAGGGCACCAUGUCCUCCAAGCCCUCCUCGUCCGCGCUUUAGGGCACGACGGAGCGGAUGUGCGNNNNNNNNNNNNNNNNNNNNNNNNNNNNNNNNNNNNNNNNNNNNNNNNNNNNNNNNNNNNNNNNNNNNNNNNNNNNNNNNNNNNNNNNNNNNNNNNNNNNNNNNNNNNNNNNNNNNNNNNNNNNNNNNNNNNNNNNNNNNNNNNNNNNNNNNNNNNNNNNNNNNNNNNNNNNNNNNNNNNNNNNNNNNNNNNNNNNNNNNNNNNNNNNNNNNNNNNNNNNNNNNNNNNNNNNNNNNNNNNNNNNNNNNNNNNNNNNNNNNAUGGAGUUUGAGAACGCCUAGUGGGAUGGCCUGGAGGUGCAGAUCGCGCUUUCGUCCGUCGGGGAUGUCAUCAUCCCUGAGCUGGAGGAGGCAGACGACGCGGAACUCCGGUGGAACCCGGCAGUGGUGGGCCAGUCCUGGUCGUGAACUUCGACUUUGUCGUGCACGCGGGAGUUGGCGUCUGCGCCACACGUGUUGGUUGGCACCGACACAUGAUCACCGCUCCACGUGCCACCGCCGCCCCCCUGCUGUGCAACCGCCACAGUCGCCACCAGCCCACCUAUGGCAGUCGCCUCCCUUCGUCAACCUCAGCACAGACGAGGAAGAGGGCAACCAAGACGGUGGCGAGGCCAUGCAGUGAACACGGCGGGGACGUCUUGUUCUUUUCUAUAAUAAUUUUGAGUUUAAGUUGAUGCAUGAUGAAUAGUUCGGCCAUGACUUUUGGACGUUAAUGUAAUAUAUAAUUAUCGUUUAGAUUAUUUUUUAUCUCCUUUUUUGUUUGAAUUUUAGUUUAAAUCUGAACGCUUUCACCAAAUGUGACGGCCGGUCGGGUGCGACAACCGGCGGACGACCGCAAAUGGACGCUUGUGUCCACUUUGCCGACCCAAACGGACAGAAUCCGGAUAAAGCAGACGUCUGUUUGGGGUCGUCCAACAACUUUUGGAGUCGGCCUUAAAACACACAGCCAUAGAGCAGGUCUUAGAGCAUCUCCAGCCGCGCCCCAACAUGCCCCCCACCCAAGGCCCUUUUUCGUCGCCGACGGAGAAAAUUCGGCUCGGUCGCACCCACAGAAGCCCAAUUUUCACUGUUUAGGGCCGAUUUUGGCGCCGCCGGACCCAGGCCGAACCCGGCGCACUGGGGGGCAUCCAGGGGCAACGGGGAAAACGUUUUUUGGUGUGAAAAGGAGUGGGUCCUCAGAGUUAGUGAAUCGCCGCCUUCCUCGUCCUCAUCGCCUCGGUUCCCACGGGAAUCAAUGCCAAGGCCGCCACGCCGGUCAGUCUUCAAUUGAUGCCUCACGGGCAGCGCAGUGAAGGCGUGGCGACACGCGUCCCCUCCCGCCACGCGGCACAUGGUGGCAGCUCUCCCACCGCCCAUCUGCAGCUAUAAGCCGUCUUCCCUCGCCGGUGAACGCACAAACUCUCGCCACCGACACCCUUCUCUCUACCUCUCGCCGCCGAUGCCUCUCUCACCCACUCUCUCCCACGCCAAUGUCAAUGGUCGAGCGCUUCCCAGGCGACGACGGAGUGGCGAACGGCUUCGGUCGCCGCCAUCUGCAUGAGGUUGAGGCGCGCCUCCUCUACGAGGCCGACUACCCGGUGCCCCUGAACAUGCGGGUGUCGGGCACCUGGAGGCUCGGCGCUGGCGGUGUCCCGGUGCCGCCUGCGCCAACCGGAGUGGCCCGGCGAGCCGAAAUCCGGUUAUCGCUGCCGGAGCCACAACGGAAUCAGCCGAGGUACGACCCCGACGAGCAACACGCUGUGGACGGCGUACUUCGAGCGGUGCCACGAGGAGCAGAUUGUCGCCACCAGCGGCGUCGAGCCCCGCGGCCGCCACAACUCCGAGGGGAGGCGCCGAUGGUGGGGCGUCCCAGGCCGAACCCUUGAGGCCGUCCUUGAGCACAUUGAGGCCUGGGGUACCCGGCGCCCCCUCCUUCUCUCGUCGCCGCGACAGCUCCUGGAUGCCACGGCGAAUGGAGACGGCGACAUCAUCGUCGUCGGGCUCUAGCUCUCUGUCCUCCAGCUCGCCGGCACUUCGCCCCGUCAAGCCGGAGCUGCAGGAGACGCCACUAGGGCGCCGCAUACGCGGCGGCGCCCUUGUCAUCAACGAGGGCGGCCGCCCCUCUCCUUCCUACGAAGACCGAUCCAGGUUUGCUCCCCGUGAAGAAGGAGCACGAGGCCAUGCCCGCCGCCUAUGAGACCGCCCUCAAGUGGGUGAAGGCGGACUACGUCCGCGAGCAGAUGGAGCGCCAGCGCCGGGCGAUCGUAGAGAUCGCCGCUCGGCGCCGCGGACGCGCGGAGGGUGGCGUGGUCGUCCUCGACAGCGACGACGAGGAUGCGCCUGGGCCAUCCAACCCCCCGCGCAUCGGCGACGCUGGUCAGGGGUGCAGCAGAGACGGUGACGACAGCGACUACACCUGGUUCUACAGGCUCCUCGGCAUGUAGAUGGCGGGAGGCAGCAGUGGCUGGGCGUAGUCGUUUUUAAUUUGUGUUUUUAGUUUUUUAUACAAAUAUCAAUGAAAAUCGUCUAGUUUGGACGAAAUUGUGUCUUGUUUGGCCAAUUUUAUAUUUCAAAAAAUGGCAUCUGGGGCAACCUGGGUGCGGCGGCUGGGAAACCCAGUCACCCCCACGACGAAAUUAUUGCGUUUUUUUUUUUUUGAGUCCUGGGCCGAACCGGAGAUGCUCUUACGGUCAUACCCAUGUUCGGCCCAUUAUACCUGGACUAGGCCGGGCCGGCGUUAUCCGAGAGUUCUGAAGGCGCGCUGCUCAUCCGAGAGCUGGAAGAAUCGGCGGCGCACAUGGAGGCGCAGCCGCGGGAGAUCUUCCUCGGCGCCGGCGGCCACUGCUUCCUCGUCCUCGUCCUCGUCGCUCACGUAAUACACCCAAACCCUACCUCGUCCCGUUUCUCUUCACCUGCGGAUGUUGCAUCAGAUCCGCCUACAUCUGCAAGUAGGGAUUAAGGCAUAGAUGGAUUCUUUCUGCUUAGUCUCGAAGAAGAAAAGCAAUCCAGAUUGAGACUUUCCCACUUUAGAUCUCCAACAUUGCAGAUAAUAAUAGAGGGUGUCGGUCACCGAUUCUCAAUUUGCUCUGAAAUUCGUAUGUGCUCUGCUUUUAUUUUUCUGUCAGCAUGGACACUUGCCAGAUACAUUAUUUGAUUGAGAAAUACUAGGCGAUUGUGGUGUGUAAUCUGUAUGAACAAAGAUCUACAAGAAACUUAAACAAGCCGUCUAUCUAGCGCGUAUUAUAUACAUAUAACUUCCCCAUAUAAUUUAUAUUCAGUUUUUUCAUCAUUGUUGAUCUUAUUCUGAACUUCUCAGGAGCGACAACUCAAUGCGAUUAGUACCUUUGUUCAGUUCAGUGUAUGAUGGGAACAUAGUUUGGCGUUGAUGUCCUAACGACACGCAUCACUCAUGUUUUUUAGAAUCUUGGUAGCUCAUCUUGGUAACUCAUGUUCUUUUUUAUACAGUUAUACCUUGUUUCGCAAGCCUAACCUUUUUCUUAAAUUUGCUUUGUUGAACAGGGAGAGACCCAUCAUGCAAAUAAUGGCCAACAGGACAUGUUCUGCUUCUGCCUCCUCACUCUUUGCUUCAUCUCGGCCACAAGGAUGGGCAGAGCUCCCGGACGACCUGCUCCGACCCAUUGUCGCUCUACUACGCUCGUUCCGCGACCUCCUCGCCUUCGGUACCACUUGUCGUCAUUGGUGUGAUCUCUUCUCAGCACGCAGGUCCUCUCUCCAGCCUCUGCUCCUCCACCCCAAUCUCCGUACCGACGGUGGACAGACUCUCUCGCAUAACUGUUGGACCUUAUUCCACAAAGGCGCAUGGAGAUUGGCUGACCCUGCUGCCACCUCAUCCUCUCGCAGUUUUCUUUCCUUGAGUGACCUCAGAAGCAUGACCUUUCUGCGCUACUCCCAUGGUCAGCUCAUCUUCUACGACAACAAUGGGUUCCAUAUUGUUAAUCCGUUCAGUGGCACUAAGGUUGGUCCUCCUUCCCUCCAGUCAGUUCACUUCACUUGCAUCAGCUAUGUCACCUUAACUGCCCCUGUUGCAUCCACUGAUUCGCAUCUCCUUGUCGGUGCUGGAGCCUAUCUGUUCCUGUGGCGCAUCGGGAGCGACUCUUGGACAAAACACAGUCCUAAAGUUGUUCGUUUUUCCAUUGAACAAAAUGUGGCCUUCAAGGGCAAGACAUAUGCCCUAGGGUCUUUCGGGUGGUUCUACAUCAUUCACUUGUCACCCAGUCUCAUUGUUGAGAAGUUUAAAGUUGUGUUCGAGGAAGAUAAAACCGAAGAUCUCUAUUCGGCAAAUGAAAAAGCAUGGCUACUGGUGUGUGGUGACACGCUUCUCUUGAUCAAACUUGUGGAGGCGGGAAGACGGAUGCGCUCGGAGGCCUUCCAGUUCAUGCCCUUCAAGCUUGAGUCAUUGGACACCAUGACCAAGAAGGCAAGGUGGGUGAAAGUGAACAAGUUAGAUAACUGGGCCAUCUUUAUCAGCAUUGACGAGCGGUGCAAGGCGUUGCCGUGCAUGAACCCAGAGGGAUGGGGAGGAAGGAGCAACCACAUAUACUUCCCAAGUUAUCAGUCUGAAAAACCUUGGGCUGCAGUCCAACUAUGGGAAAAAUGUUAUUACCGUUCGACACAGCUCUUCAACACUGGAAGACGGUACCUGAAAUUGGAGUCAACCUGGGUCUUCCCCGCGCGUUUCCUUGUUACGUCCUGCGAUGAUCUUACGGCCGUGAGUGCGGUUGAUGAUUAGCUUCUGAUACAGCUUUGGUGGGAGGAUUCUACUAUGUUGCAGUAGCAAGAUGAGUAGUUCACUGAAUGUUCUUGACGUGUUUCAAAACUUGCAUUACAAACAGAAGUGUAGAUUAAGUUAUCAGAUUAUGUACUUUCCUCUCUUUUUCUGUGGCAAUUACAAGGGAGUUUCUUACAGAUUGUGGAGUUUUCUUGUACCUGGGCACUUGAUAACAUGGGCUAGGCCUGUAACUUCCCUUUAAUACAUAGAUAGCUAAGAGUAAUUGUACUAUGAUUGUUGAUUAUUCACGUGAUGUGCUUGAGCAUAUGACAGUCUUAUUGGGUGGAAAUGUGAAUCUUGAGAACAUAGCUUGGGCAGAGCUACCAUUUUUUAACUGAACAUUGUACGCAUUUUGGGCUGGAGAUUUGCAAGGUCACCAAGAAUUAGAGUGAGGAUGCAAGUCCAUAGCAUCAGGUUAAUAUAGACUGCAAGUUCAGCCAACAAACAUAUAACCAGCAUAUAUGCAUUCAGCACAAAUUUUAUAUUUCACACCAACAAAAACUAGGCAGACAGAGUGUUCGACAACCAAAAAGCUCUGCAUUUGCACGUAGCUUCAGCAAACAGCUCUGCGUGCAUUUGAUUAUCUCUGUUUAGAAGAAGAUCAAGCUACAAAUAGAUGUAUGGACCAAACAAAGCACAUAACUAAAAUAAAGCCCAGGCACAUAUCUGACAUGGUGCACACAAAAAAUGCUGAAGACCCAAGGAGCUAGUAUUGAUUCAGGAUGCAAACCCUUAUCUUUUGUAUGCAAAAGAGGAGUAAUUAACAAAGUUCAGUGAAAACAGCAACAUGUAGCACAAGUUUUGCCUCCAGGAAUGUACACUGGGUGGCAAACAGAGAUUAUUACAAAUCUUGAUGUACUCCGUCAAAGGAGCUGAAACUAGAAGGAACAUAGCGACAAAAAGUCCCCAAGUGCAGCCAACGACAACAAGACAACUGCGCGCUGCAAUGACACGAUCUCAUACCCAAGCUGCAAAGGAUGUAGGAUUGCGAGCAAGAUAAGCAUUGAUCGUCGCAAAACAAGGUUCUGGCUCCAACUCCUCAUUUUGGUUGCCAUCUACUGGGUAUGAAAAUACCCGAGCAUUUUCAUCCAACUGAUAGACAAGGCCACCCCUUAAACCCAUUCUCUCUGGAUUCACUAAGAGUCGUGGCUGUCUAUUACGUUUCUCGCCAAAGAAGAACGCCCACUUCUUCAAGCCUUCCUCUUCCACGAUCACAUACUUUGCAGGUUCAGUUGAGAAGUCAAUGGAGAAGGCUUCCCCGUUACGACCAAGUAGGAGAAGUGUGUCUUCACAAGCCACCAAAUUUCCGGAAAGCACGUACGGGUCCAUAUAAUCUCUGCAAUCAACUCUUAGUACCUCAACAUGAAACUGAGGUGCCAAAUGCACGGUGUAUAGUUUUUGACGCAUCCUCAUAAUGACCCGGCCUUUGAAGGACACCAUCUCCUUGAUCAAAUGUGCAUUUAGAAAAUCGCAGUGCAACCAAGAGGGGCUCCCAACUCGCCAAGCGUACAGGCAGUGCGGGCUGCUGACAAAUAGAUAUGAAUCUGGUGACGCCUUUGGAGAUAUGAAGGUUUUGUAGCAUAGUUGACUCAAUGGGAAAGGUGGAGCUGCAACUGUAGUGCCAUUGAGCACGUCCAUAAUGACAAGGGAUCUCUCGUAGCAGAAAAUCGCAUGACCAUAAGAACAUUUGACGACUGUCAUUUUGUCCAAAAUACUUGGAGGGGUCAAGCGACACAACGGAGUACUUGGAUAUACAGGAUCAAUGAGCUCCCAUGUGUUUCCAAUGUUAGAGCCAGCUGAGCUUGUCUGGUCGGCACAGUUCCGGAAAAUAACAGGUGGGAAGAGCUCUUCUAAGGUAGAAUUGAUUGACAUGAAUGCGGCAUACCAGCUAGGGCAGGUGGCGAUGAAUGCAAGAAGGUCACGGGUUGAACCCAACAGGACAAUGAUGGAGUGCAAUAAUCCGUGUGGUAGGUCCGCCCAGCCUUCGGGUCCAAACAUGACACGGUGCACGGAGAUGGGGGUGUUGGAGCUCCGGUUGAUGUUUUGCAUGAUAUCAGCUUCAAAUUCUGCAUUAAGGAUCAUGAAAGGACAACAAUUUUAGCAAUGGACUUGAGUUAACUAUAUAAUAUAAAUUGCUAUCACUAUUUUAAUUAAAUUGGUACUACUACAGCUAUGAUAAUUAUACAAACACAAUAAAAAUGUUUGUAGAAACUAUAAACAUAAUACAUAGUAGAGCAAAGACUACAGUAUUGCCAUCGAAAUGUGCAUCUGCCUCAAGAAAAUUUGAUCAUGAUAAAAUUCAUCAACAUUUGAAAAGAAAAGGCAAGUUCUGUAUUUUUCUUUCCACCGAAUGUUAUUUAUAUAUGUUGCGCAACAGGUUUGGCUCUUGUCUCCACCUCGAUUCUGGGCCCACAGAUACGCGAUAAAUUUCAUCAACAUUUGAAAUUAAAAAGUGCAAGCAAUAUUGAAAUUCUAAGAUUGUUCUACACUGAUAGUGGUAAACCCUUGAACUAUUUCAUAUGUUCAUAUAGCAUAAACACAACAGGAUCGCACAUCCACCAACAACACAUACACUCAGAUCCCCAAAUCAUCCAUGGCAGAGUCAGGCUAACAAGAACAAAAGUGCGAUGAGCGCGUCAGAGGAGGUCGCCCCCAAUGGGGGUGAUGGCGGGCCAAGGAAGAUGAUCCUGGGCAGCCUUGCACGGUGGAGAACUCUGUCUGACCAUGGACCGUGGCACCGGACAGCGAAUAUAUAUACUCGGCCAACCCACGAGACCAUGUCCUACACAGAAAUUGACUUAACCUAGAUCACAUCGUAUACUACAUAUUUGGACUCAAGCUUGACUCAAACACGUGAACUCCUACUAGUACAUGUACAUGACUUUGGUUAGUCCCCAAAGAAAUAAAGCCACGUGACAUGCAAAGCACCAACUACAUCAUGUUCCAAACAAAACAAUCAAGAUUAUGCUAACACUAGCGUCGGCCCAUGCACAACCAAUGGCUAUCAUGGGUUCCCAACUCCAGCAGGAGGUGGGAAAGGUCUCGUCCACGAUACCGGCAAUCACUCCAAAGUUACUUGUAUGUACAACUCAGAGCAAGGGGGUAGAACUCGACAUCAACUUGGUUCCUUCCCUUGCCAGGGGCUAAACCCGGAGGGCGGAGGUGAUUCAAGGCCAGGCCUCCUCCAUGAGUCCAGCAGCCAGCAAGGAAAAUGAAGUGGGCGAAGUCAACCUCAACAAGGCUCCUCCCCUACCCCUGGAGCCAGUAACACGAAAGCCAAGCACCACAAAGGUAAGAAUAGCCUCAAGGCUAAGCCAGGGAAGUAAGUUGAUCAAUCCCUGGUGAACACCGAGGCGGUGUUGGGUAAAUGCAUGGGACGUGACAGUGAGUCUGGUAGUGAGUUUGUGGCGACACGCAGUUAGAAGGGUCCUGGUCUGAACAAGAAGGCAUGAGGUGAGGGUAAUGGAGGUGGCAUGAGCAACAUAGGUGUGUUAGGCGGUAAGGAAGCUAUCGGCCCAUUGGUUGCCGAUGAAUGACAUGUGAUAAGGAAGCACCUAUCAGGAGAAAUGAGUCGCCUGAUCUAGAACUAUUGGGGCCUCGGACAGUCUUGGAUAGUUGAAGAGCUAGUUUGCCUCGUGCACGCAUAUACCACUUGAUGAUCGUUUUACUUUCUGAAACUCAGCAAUAUGAAAAGAGUUUCAAUAAUGUUAGGUGGAUGCUAAGCCGCCAGCAUUGUAUUGUGCAUGAUGGUAAGGGCAAGGGUGCGCUGCGUUGUUCUGAGAUAAAUGAACUAAAAUAAAAAGACUGCCAUAUGACCUGAGGUACAUCAAUGUCUUAAUUCAUGAUGAUUCCCGUGGCCUGAAGUGUCAGGCUACAUGGUGAACCUAAGGAGUAAGGAAGACGUCACAUCUGGAGUUUACUCAAAAGAAUAGAGCCAGAUGCUCAUGAACACUUGUUGAUGAUAGGUGAUUUUUAUGAGACGAUGUGGCAGCGUGAGCACUUCUCAGUAGCUUGGAUAUUCGAGAGAAAAAUACCAAGUUCAGAGAAGCCUUGUUCUAGUGUGAUCUUCAUAAUUAGGGCUAUAAGGGGCCUUCCUGGACAUACGAUAAUAAACAGUAUGGCAAGAGCAAUGUGACCGUCGGGUUGAAAGUGCAGUUGCAUCGUCGGGUUGGUGUGAUUUAUUCAGAGUGAACAAUGGUACACACAUAUUCUCCAACCACUUUCCUCUAUGGCUGCAAUACGGAGACAGACCAAGGUGCAUAGCAACGUGAAAUCCUUUCGGUAUGAGUAGAUAUGGGAAAGAUUAUCGUCGCCGGAGGAAACUACUGAAAUCCCUGGCCGAUGACUGCACUAAGCUGGGAGUGCUGCAACAGGAUGUUUGGUCCUGGACAUGAAAGAUUUUGGGUCCAUGAUAAGCAGUACUCACUGGCUGAGAAGGAAUAUUAUAGUCACAUACUGAAUGCACUAUCUUAUUGGUUGCGGAUGGUUGGGAAAGCAUCUUAAGAAAGCAGGUCUUGGAAGGGAGGUUAAUGCCUAUCAAAAUUGUUGAGGGAGCCUAGGUGUCUCUAAACUAAUGUUUGUUGAUGGCAGCCUUUUGUUCUUCAAGGCCGUAUGAAGAGAGGUGAGGGUAGUGAAGGACACUCCAAAUAUAUUUCAAAGGUGUACAUGAUAGCUUCUUAGCCCGGAUAAAUGCUCUUUAUUAUUUAGUCAACACUGCUCGCCCCAUGUCCAAUAAGAGAUAAAGGUCACCCUUGGUGUUGUGGCUUCCACUUUUGAGAGUAAAUAUUUGGGUUUACCAACCCCAGAAGGUAGGAUAUUUGCCUCGAAUUUUAGUCAAUCAUGGAAAGGUUCACAAAAAUGUGCAAGGACUGGAUUGAAAAGUAUAUGACCCAUGCAGCUAAAGGGGUCUUGAUCAAGUAAGUGGUUCAAGUGCUUCCCAAUUACUUAUUUGGAUUGUUCAAAUGUCCACGGGCUUUUGUGAUAAGUAUGAAAAUUUUAUCUGGGACUUUAGGUGGGGCGAUGAGUAAGGACAUCACAAGUCAAUUGGCUCUCCUGGUACCAACUUAUAAAACAAAAGAGAGGAGGUGUUCUAGGAUUCUGGGAUAUGCAUAUGUUUAACCAAGCUCUCCUGGCAAGGCAAGGGUGGAGACUGAUUCACAAGCCGGAUAGUUUAUGUUCCAGAGUAUUGAAAUCAUAAUUAUCGUUGUGGGAUAUUCUGGACAUGGUCAUUUCCUCGUAUGCAUCCCCCGCUUGGAGUUAAGAUACUCAAGGAAGGCAUCAUCUGGCAUAUAGUGAAUGGACGAAAAAUUCAGAUUCAGAGAGACAACUGGAUUCUGAGACAGUAUGGCCUCAGGUUGCCAAAUUCGCUAGAAACUCAAGGUUGAGGUGGAUUAACCAGUUGGUUCUCUCGAUAAAAAAAUAAAUGUAAUAUUAACCUUGUCCACAGGCUAUUUUCUGAUUUUGAUGUAGAGGAGAUAUUUGGCAUAAAUCACCCUUCUAUGUGAUGGAUGACGUGCUUAUAAACUUGCCACCCAACUCAAAUCCAGGUACAACUCCCCUGCUUCUAGCUCUUCAAGUGCGACAUAUAAUUGGAGUAUUUGGGAUGUGAUUUGGAGAGCUAAGGUUCCAGAGAAGGUUAAGGUCUUUGGCUGGAGGUUGCUACUGGCUCACUAGCUACACAAUUGUGUAAAUUUAUAAAGGCGCUGAGUGUAACACCAUUUGUGCUAUUUCUGGUAACUAUGUGGAGCAUGAAUUCCAAUCUCCACAGUGGCUUUGGGAUGUUGGCUAGUGUCCCAUCAAUACUUCUUUUUUUGAGGGAAUUGGUGUCCCGUCAAUACUUAAUGCCCCUCUGUCUAAUGAUUUCAAUCAGUCUAUGGUAAUAUACAAGUCUAGUGUUUUCCCUCAAUUAAGUAAAAUAAACACAACUCAGAGAUCAACUAAUUUUUACCUUAAUUUUUCUAGAAAAAAAUAGGGCGAGUUCUUCCCCUACCUUCUUCGAUGUUGAUAGCGGAGGGCGAAGUGGAGGCAACAACUACCUUCUCCGAUGCCAAUCGUGGUAAGACGUGGCCAUCGGAGACAGUAUGCUGCUUUCCUUCAUCGCCAAUCAUCAUGUUGGCUCCAGAUCUAGGAAAAAUGGCUUGUCGCCCACCCCUAGGACUCCAGAUCUGGAUGUAGUUGGUCGCCCAACUGCGACGACUCCAAAUCUGGAUGUGGUUGGUCGCCCACACCUAGGACUUCAGAUGUGGAUGGAAACACAGUAGGAGCCCACGCGGUUGUCUCAACGCAUCAUCCACCGCUCAAUAGUGGGCGGUUCAAGCGCAGUCGGCGUGGAUGUCGAGGGGAAGGGGGAACAUCUGUGAUGAGAGAGAGAGCGUGGGGGGGGAGAGAGAGAAAGAGAGGAGGGGAGGAGAGUGGCGUGUGGGUUUGUUCGUUAUAGAAAAGCUUUACCUGUAGAUUAUUAUGUGAGCCUGCAUACCACAACAAGACCUCCCGUCCUCACAUUUAAAUUGCCCCGCCCUCUCCCACGUGGUGGGCCCACUUCUCACCCUACCGCUCCCAAAAAAGCGUGUAGGAUGAGAGUUGUGCGUGUUGGUCAGUUUGCUUGCUGGAGCGAGCAAACGCCAGGGAGUCAAUGUGAGGUGCUCCCAGCAAGGAGACGAAAGACAUCAUGCAACAUGCUCCGACCGACCUUGAUUCCUACAUACAAAUAGUGAACCAUCAGAUGCCAAUGACCUUGCCUCACUGACCAGACACCAGCGGCUCCACUCCUAGACACAGGAUGUCGGUGUGAGGUACUCGUUGUUCUCCUAGAAUUCUUGUAGUUGUCCGCCCAUAUUUUUAUUCAUGUUUCUCCCUGUCAACCAAGACCCCUCUACUGAAUUUCCCUUUGGCUUGAGAAUGACAGUUGUGACCUCCAUAACAAUGCAACACUCGUCACCCGACCUCUCCUCUUUGUCCUAUGUGUCAUCCUUGCCGAUGAUAGCAAAGUGGACGAUGCCAAUGACGGUGAUAUCCGCUCUAUGCCAAGGAUAGGCACCGCAUGCGAGGGAAUAUCGGUGAUCCGACACCCAUGACACAAUCCAUAAGGAUGUGUCUUCUUUCCAUCGAAACCUUCUCUCCCAGCCGAAGAUGACACCCCUCCUCGAUCUUCUCGUCGGCAUCCACAGAAGGAACUAUCCUAAUGGUCUAUCGAGACUGAGGACACCCGAGCACCAUUCAGAUAUGCCGCCAAGAAAGGUGAUGGAGAAGCACGUUGACCAUUGCACGUGCAAGGUAGGGGGAACCCAGUUAGUAAACUGUAAUAAUGAGUUGUAGUGUGCAUCACAAUUAUUGCAUAAACACUCUUUGAUUAAUUAUAAAAAAGAGGAUAAUUCAAAACCUCAUAUAAAAUGUUAUAAAACACACUCAAAUAAUCAAUGCACUGGUAUAAUCCCGCUAAAAAAUACUGAAAUAUUUACCAUAGUUUCCUUAGGGGGUGGCCCUCUCAUUUAACUAGGCAGACAAACCCAAGAAGGAAACACUCAUGAGAGAUAUAAUCAUUUUCUAGUGAAAAAAAUAGUGUUACCAACUAAAGAAAGAACAAGCAUGCAUGUAGAACACAUGAGCAAUGAUGUACAUCUGAUUCUUUUUGAAAGAUAUACGAAGGGGCACAGAUAUCGACAUAGAAUAUGGAGUGAGUGGAUUAAAGUUGAGUGGUAGUAGAAUCAAUAUUUGUGACAUCGCACCUUUCAAAGGUUCCAAAUAGUCACCGGCUUCGUUAGUAACAAGUGUAUCUGAAUUAUCAUCUAGAAACACCAAAAGUUAUCCGAAGAUUCGUUUUCUGGUGGUAUAACAGUGUCGGGUUCAUUGAGAGAUACCGAAUCAUGUUCAUCUAGAGCGUUCGCAUCCUCCUGCGACAUGCUGACAUCUAGGUUUUGCGGGACGAAGCGGGACGCCGGGCUAGAACUUAACCCCAGGAACACGAGACCAUGCCGUGAAACUCGAAUAUUGUCUACCGAAGGCUGCAACAGUCAGCUUGAGCCUUGAGGCCACACCGAGGAAUGUUCUUCUUUCUGGGGCUGAAGAUCCUCGCUCUGCUUGUUUCCGGAAUCAUUGCUUCUCCAUGUUUGAUCGAAAUUAUGUGAGUGUCUCCUCUUUGCUGAGCACUGUCCCUCUUGCUCAUUGGGCCCAAGAGAGACGAUUUGGCACGUACCAUGAUGUGGAGCACGCACGAAAAGAGAUCCACAGGAACGGAGAACGCUAUCUAAGUAAGCUAAGUUGAGCAUCAUUAGCAUCCAGGUCGUUGUAGUAUAGUGGUAAGUAUUCCCGCCUGUCACGCGGGUGACCCGGGUUCGAUCCCCGGCAACAGCGCAUUUUUUUUUGUUUGGCGGCCCACGACAGGCCAGGCCCAUUCUUUUCGGUCGAGGCCGAUCCACUGCGAGCGCCGUAGGCGCCGCGGCGCUUGCACGGUUGCGAAGUAGGCCGGCCCAGCUAUCUUUUUGUUUAGGGUUAGCUACCUGCUGAAAGCAUUUUUUUUUGUUUGGCGGCCCACGACAGGCCAGGCCCAUUCUUUUCGGUCGAGGCCGAUCCACUGCGAGCGCCGUAGGCGCCGCGGCGCUUGCACGGUUGCGAAGUAGGCCGGCCCAGCUAUCUUUUUGUUUAGGGUUAGCUACCUGCUGAAAAACAACAUGUAAAGAAAAAUUAUAAAGUUCAUUGAGGGAGAACAGGGAAUCGAACUCACGAGAACCACGUGACUGAACACGACAUAACCACUGCACCACCGUCAGCUACUUUUUAGCUUUCGUAAAAUAGCCCUCAUUGACCUUUCCUUCAGUAUAAACAUUAAACAUAUACUAUUAUAUACCCACUAUAAAUUAUGUUUGAAUAAAGAAAAUAUAAACGUGAAAACGCAUUCAUAUAAAACAUGAAUUCAAAAGAAAAGUACACAAAAAUAGAAAAAAAAUUGUGAAUUUGAAAAAAAAUCAUCUAAUUAAAAAAAAGUUCAUCAAAUUUGAAAAAAAGUUCACCAAAAUUGAAAAGAGUUCACCGAAAUUGAAAAUUUUCAUUGAAUUUCAAAAAAAGUUCACCAUAUUUGAAAGAAGUUUAUCAAAUUUGAAAAACAAUUCACCAAAAUUGAAAUAGUUCAUCGGAUUUAAGAAAAGUUCACCAUAUUUGAAAAAAGUUCACCGAAAUUUAAAAAAGUGCAUCGACAUUGAGAAAAGUUUAUCUAAUUUCAUAAAAAGUUCAUCAAAUUUGAUAAAUAGUUCAUGAAUUUAUAAAAACCUCAUAAAUUUAGAAAAAGGUACACGAAAUUUAUAAAACGGUACAUUAAAGAAAAAAAGAAUGAGAAAAGAAAAAAGUAUAAACCAAACUGAAUAAGGAAUAUAAGAAGAGAAACGAACUUUUUGUGCACUAGCGUGGUGAUGGCGAGGUGGUUAGUGCGUAGCGGUUGGAUCAGAGAGGUUGAGCGGUCGAACUCUGCUGUGCGAGCACUUUUUGGCGUUUUCGGAAAAUAGAGAAAAAUACUCAAAUCAUUUUCGAAAAAUAGAGAAAAAUACUCGAAUGGGCCGGCCCAGUGAGGGGCGCUGCAGGUGCCAGUUUGCAAAAUACACGUUAAUGGGCGCCUGCAGCGCCAAAUAGGGUUUGCCGCGUCCGAUGGCUCGUGCUCGCCUGGCCCGUCCGGGCCUAUUUAUCGUAUGCAUCCUCGAAAAGUAUCCCGUUCGCUUUAGAGCCCUCCCAACACAUUUUGUGUCGGGCUACAAAUUUGUUGUUGCAAGGGCAAAGCAUGCGCGUGCUUAAGGACUACUAGAAUCUAGUCAUUGCCCAAAUGCUAAUGAUACUGCUGAUUUUGAUAAAAGAAACACUUUGCUUUUGGUCUGUGCGUGCUACUUUUGGUUUGUUGGUUUUGCAGCUAUAUUUGCUAGCUCAAAUUUGGAUGAACCAGCUUUACAUUUGUAGACCAAAUGAGUUAGUGUUAUAUGUUAUAUAUGCGUUCAUGUUGGUCUUUUUCUCCAACUGAGCCGGCAGAAGUUGCCUGAUUUUUGGAUUUGGCUCAGUUGAUUUAAUUGGGAAGGAAGAAGGAAGCGCAACGGGGCAUGGUGUCCACCUUUGGUGGCACCAGGGCAAGACGUCGGCAAGGCCUCGGCUAGGAACGAGCCAUAGCCGCCGGAGGCGAGUUCAAAGGUUAAUGGUUUGGGCUGCGGGCUCGCAGAGAAAUUCUAGUGGUUUGUCUGUUUAGAGGGAUGGCUAGGGUGGCACCAACACGAUGGUGAGGAGAAAGGGUGGCGGAGGCAGGCGGUUCAACCGAUGGUCAUGGACAGGUUGAGCAAGAAGGUGAAUAGGGGAGGACAGUAGGUGGAAGAAGGCCAUCUGGUCAUUGGCUGCUCAUCGGGCGGUUCAAAAAAAUCAAUCCAUCCAAAUCUUUUUUUAAUCGCCCGCCCUCUAGCAAUCCACUUUUUCCUCAUGGGUAACUGUGUCAAGAUGAUGUUUAGACCCCAAUAAGGGUUGGACUAUAUAUUUGUUUGUUUUGUUCUUCGAGUUGCAUAUAUAGAACAGAAAUAGAAUUUAAGCUAUUCUCGUCUUCACUAGAAUCAUUUAUCCAUCCAGAUCUAUGCUCAUGCAUUGUUGUUAAUGUACUUACAUUCUUCUUUCUGCAUGGGCCAUUGUCUACAACUCUUGGUUCCAUCAUCCCUAGUAUCAAUGAUCAUUGUCGAGACUAUACACACCAUUUUCUCGUUGGUCCUUUCUCAUUUCAUUCAUUAGAGCAGCUGUAGCCCUCCGUGUAGGGUCGGCGGCACGAGGAGGGGUUGUCGGUGUCGUUCCUGAUGUCCGAGUCUUCGGACGGGAUUGAUUGUUCACGUGUUAUGAAACUGGUCCUAAUUUGAUAGGUAUUUAAGAGGGAUAUUUUUUUAGAACAAAGGCUCAAGAAGAGCCCGACUUUGAAUUAACAAAGUCAUCAACUGGCCAGGAUUACAAACUCGAAACCAACACAAGAAAGAUAAGAAAAUGGCAAGAUACAAAGGCGCUGGAAAGCAGCUCACAAGCCUCAUACACACCAAGCUAAAAAGAUCGACGGGGAGAAACACAGCUCAGAGAUGAAGAGGUCCUCCACGCGACCAGAACGCCAUGGAAGAAGAAGAAUGCCCACACUGGAUCAACAUGUCCAAUGACAAAGAAGGGCACGCCGUCGCCUAAUCACCAACAACCCUGACCCUACACAUCCGCCCAGCUCCAAUGUCAAAGAAGGCCCCUGCCUUCUCUCCUGGCUCGAAAGGCGCCGCACGAUUGACAAGAGGAGCAGUUCACCAUAGAACCUGGAAGAUAGUCGCCGGCAGGCUACAUUUGAAAAGAAAACAAACUCACCCAACAAGUCACGAACACAUCACCAAGAGCAGAGCACCGCCGAAUCCCACGGACUGGUCACAAAAAGGAAGAGUUGCCGGAACGGAAAAAGAUGAGCAACAGCUAGAUCUCUCUAGAAGACAUUGAGAACCGAAGUGCAGGCACCGAAAGAGGGGCUAAUGCUCUCAUGUGCACUGAGAAGGGUCGUCGAAUGAGGGGAACCCGAACCCCUCACACCUAGGAGUAUCCACAGGCCAGACAGGGCACCCCGCAGUAGACCGGAGAGGUCCCGAAAUGAAGGAGUCAUUUAGGAAGUCGCGGUCGUCGAGGGAGAUCAGCUACAGCCGCCGCUGCACACGAAACACAUCUUUGAGAAACCCCACGCCCACCAUGCUCCCAAAACCGGCGCCUUCAGGAAGGACGUGACACCAAGGGCACCGCCGCCGCCCAACAGUGUUGGGGAUUUCUCCCGGGAGGCAAGGAGGGGAAGGGGGUAGAGGAACAGACCCGAGCGGCACCUCCAAGGAGGGGAACGGUGUUGGGGAACGUUGCGUGGGAAACAAAAAAAUUCCUACGCUCACCAAGAUCAACCUAGGAGAUGAACAUCUACGAGAGAAGAGAUUGCAUCUACAUACCCUUGUAGAUUGCUAAGCGGAAGCGUUAAGAAACGCGGUUGAUGUAGUCGAACGUCUGAUGUCUACUACACAACCUUCUUCUUGUAGACGUUGUUGGGCCUCCAAGUGCAGAGGUUUGUAGGACAGUAGCAAAUUUCCCUCAAGUGGAUGACCUAAGGUUUAUCAAUCUGUGGGAGGCGUAGGAUGAAGAUGGUCUCUCUCAAACAACCCUGGAACCAAAUAACAAAGAGUCUCUUGUGUCCCCAACACACCCAAUACAAUGGUAAAUUGUAUAGGUGCACUAGUUCGGCGAAGAGAUGGUGAUACAAGUGCAAUAUGGAUGGUAGAUAUGAGUAUUUGUAAUCUGAAAAUAUAAAGACAGCAAGGUAACAAGUGGCAAAAGUGAGCAUAAACGGUAUUGCAAUGCUAGGACACAAGGCCUAGGCUUCAUACUUUCACUAGUGCAAGUUCUCUCAACAAUAAUAACAUAACUGGAUCAUAUAACUAUCCGUCAACAUGCAACAAAGAGUCACUCCAAAGUUACUAAUAGCGGAGAGCAAACGAAGAGAUUAUUGUAGGGUACGAAACCACCUCAAAGUUAUCCUUUCUGAUCGAUCUAUUCAAGAGUCCGUAGUAAAAUAACACGAAGCUAUUCUUUUUGUUUGAUCUAUCAUAGAGUUCGUACUAGAAUAACACCUUUAGACACAAAUCAACCAAAACCCUAAUGUCACCUAGAUACUCCAAUGUCACCUCAAGUAUCCGUGGGCAUGAUUAUACGAUAUGCAUCACACAAUCUCAGAUUCAUCUAUUCAACCAACACAAAGUACUUCAAAGAGUGCCCCAAAGUUUCUACCAGAGAGUCAAGACGAAAACGUGUGCCAACCCCUAUGCAUAAGUUCAUUGAACCCGCAAGUUGAUCACCAAAACAUACAUCAAGUAGAUCACAUGAAUAUCCCAUUGUCACCACAGAUAAGCACGUCAAGACAUACAUCAAGUGUUCUCAAAUCCUUAAAGACUCAAUCCGACAAGACAACUUUGAUAACCCACAAGUAUAGGGGAUCGCAACGGUUUUCGAGGGUAGAGUAUUCAACCCAAAUUUAUUGAUUCGACACAAGGGGAGCCAAAGAAUAUUCUAAAGUAUUAGCAGUUGAGUUGUCAAUUCUACCACACCUGGAUAACUUAAUAUCUUCAGCAAAGUAGUAUGGAAGUAACAGUAACAGUAGCAAAAGUAACAAUAGCAGUUUUAUAGUAAUUGUAACAGUAGCAGCGGUAAAGUAAAUAAGCAAAGCACAAUAUGUGAAAAGCUCGUAGGCGUUGGAUCAGUGAUGGAUAAUUAUGUCGGAUGUGAUUCCUCAUGUAAUAGUUAUAACAUAGGGUGACACAGAACUAGCUCCAGUUCAUCAAUGUAAUGUAGGCAUGUAUUUCGAAUAUAGUCAUGUGUGCUUAUGGAAAAUAACUUGCAUGACAUCUUUUGUCCUACCCUCCCAUGGCAGCGGAGUCCUAAUGGAAACUAAGGGAUAUUAAGGCCUCCUUUUAAUAGAGUACCGGACGAAAGCAUUAGCACAUAGUGAAUACAUGAACUCCUCAAACUAUGGUCAUCACCGAGAAGUAUCCCGAUUAUUGUCACUUCAGGGUUGUCGGAUCAUAACACAUAAUAGGUGACUAUAGACUUGCAAGAUAGGAUCAAGAACUCACAUAUAUUCAUGAAAACAUAAUAGGUUCAGAUCUGAAAAAUCAUGGCACUCGGGCCCUAGUGACAAGCAUUAAGCAUAGCAAAGUCGUAGCAACAUCAAUCUCAGAACAUAGUGGAUACUAGGGAUCAAACCCUAACAAAACUAACUUGAUUACAUGGUAAAUCUCAUCCAACCCAUGACCGUCCAGCAAGCCUACGAUGGAAUUACUCAUGCACGGCGGUGAGCAUCGUGAAAUUGGUGAUGGAGGAUGGUUGAUGAUGACGACGGCGAUGAAUCCCCCUCUCCGGAGCCCCAAACGGACUCCAGAUCAGCCCUCCCGAGAGAGAUUAGGGCUUGGCGGCGGCUCCAUAUCGUAAAACGCGAUGAAACUUCCUCUCUGAUUCUUUUUCUCCGCGAAAGCAAACAUAUGGAGUUGGAGUUGAGGUCGGUGUACAUCCAGGGGGCCCACGAGGCAGGGGGCGCGCCCUCGGGGAGGGGGCGCGCCCGCACCCUCGUGGACAGGGUGUGGCCCCCCUGACGUUGAUUCUUCCGCUAGUAUUUUUUAUUAAUUCUGAAAAGUUGCUCCGUGGAUUUUCAGGUCAUUUCGAGAGCUUUUAUUUCUGCACAAAAAUAACACCACGGCAGUUCUGCUGGAAACAGCAUUAGUCCUGGUUAGUUCCAUUCAAAUCAUGCAAGUUAGAGUCCAAAACAAGGGCAAAAGUGUUUGGAAAAGUAGAUACGACGGAGACGUAUCAAACUUCAAGGGGAAAACUCAAUUCAUCACAAGAGAGUAGAGGGGAAGAAACAUCAUAAGAUCCAACUAUAAUAGCAAAGCUCGCGGUACGUCAAGAUCGUAUCACCUCAAGAACACGAGAGAGAGAGAUCAAACACAUAGCUACUCGUACAUACCCUCAACCCCGAGGGUGAACUACUCCCUCCUUGUCAUGGAGAGCGCCGGGAUGAUGAAGAUGGCCACCGGUGAGGGAUCCCCCCUCCGGCAGGGUGCCGGAACAGGGUAUCGAUUGGUUUUUGGUGGCUACAGAGGCUUGCGGUGGCGGAACUUCCAAUCUAUUAUGCUCCUCGAUGUUUUUAGGGUAUAUGGACAUAUAUAGGUGAAAGAAGUCGAUCAAGGGAGCCACGAGGGGCCCACGACGGUGGGGGCGCGCCCAGGGGUAGGGCGCGGCCCUGACCCUCGUGGCCACCUCGAAGCUUCCCUGACGUAUACUCCAAGUCUCCUGGAUUGCUUCCGUUCCAAAAAUGACUCUCCCGAAGGUUUCAUUCCGUUUGGACUCCGUUUAAUAUUCCUUUUCUUCGAAACACUGAAAUAGUCAAGAAAACAUCAAUUUGGGCUAGGCCUCCGGUUAGUAGGUUAGUCCCAAAAAUGAUAUAAAAGUGUAGAGUAAAGCCCAUAAACAUCCAAAACGGGUAAUCUAAUAGCAUGGAACAAUCAAAAAUUAUAGAUACGUUGGAGACGUAUCAAGCAUCCCCAAGCUUAAUUCCUACUCGUCCUCGAGUAGGUAAAUGAUAAAACAGAAUUUUAGAUGUGGAAUUCUACCUAGAAUAUUUCCCAAUGUAAUUUUUUUUAUUGUGGCAUGAAUGUUAAGAUCCAAAUGAUUCAAAAUAAAAGUUCAUAUUGACAUAACAAAUAGUAAUACUUCAAGCAUACUAACAAGUAAUCAUGUCUUCUCAAAAUAACAUGGCCAAAGAAAGUUUAUCCCUACAAAAUCAUAUAGUUAGGCUAUGCUUCAUUUUCGUCACACAAAAUACUCCCAUCAUGCACAACCCGGGUUUCAUCCAAGAAAUUGGUUCAUACUUUUUAACGCACUUCAGCCUUUUUCAACUCUCACGCAAUACAUGAGCGUAAGCCAUGGAUAUAGCACUAUGGGUGGAAUAGAAUAUGAUGAUGGAGGUUGUGUGGAGAAGACAAAAAAGGAGAAAGUCUCACAUUGACGAGGCUAAUCAACGGGCUAUGGAGAUGUCCAUCAAUUGAUGUCAAUAUGAGGAGUAGGGAUUGCCAUGCAACAGAUGCACUAGAGCUAUAAAUGUAUGAAAGCUCAAACAAAGAAACUAAGUGGGUGUGCAUCCAACUUGCUUGCUCAUGAAGACCUAGGGCAUUUUGAGGAAGCCCAUCGUUGGAAUAUACAAGCCAAGUUCUAUAAUGAAAAAUUCCCACUAGUAUAUGGAAGUGACAACAUAGGAGACUCUCUAUAUGAAGAACAUGGUGCUACUUUGAAGCACAAGUGUGGAAAAAGAUAGUAACAUUGCCCCCCCCCCCUUUUGGGCCUUUCCUUUUUUUGGCCUUUUUUUCUUUUUUUAUUGGCCUUUUUUUAUUUGGUCUUUCUUUUUUUAUAAGGGGCAAUGCUCUAAUAAUGAUGAUCAUCACACUUCUAUUUACUUACAACUCAUGAAUUACAACUCGAUACUAGAACAAAAUAUGACUCUAUAUGAGUGCCUCCGGCAGUGUACCGGGAUAUGCAAUGAAUCAAGAGUGACAUGUAUGAAAAUUAUGAAGGUGGCUUUGCUACAAAUAAGAUGUCAACUACAUGAUCAUACCAAAGCAAUAUGACAAUGAUGAUGUGUGUCAUGAUAAACAGAACGGUGGAAAGUUGCAUGGCAAUAUAUCUCGGAAUGGCUAUGGAAAUGCCAUAAUAGGUAGGUAUGGUGGCCAUUUUGAGGAAGAUAUAAGGAGGUUUAUGUGUGAUAGAGCAUAUCGUAUCACGGGGUUUGGAUGCACUGGCGAAGUUUGCACCAACUCUCAAGGUGAGAAAGGGCAAUGCACGGUACCAAAGAGGCUAGCAAUGAUGGAAGGGUAAGAGUGCGUAUAAUCCAUUGACUCACAUUACUCAUAAAGAACUCAUAUACUUAUUGCAAAAGUUUUAUUAGCCCUCGAAGCAAAGUACUACUACGCAUGAUCCUAGGGGGGAGGUUGGUAGGAGUUAACCAUCGCGCGCCUCGACCUCCACACAUAAGGACGGCAAUCAAAAGAGCACCCCAUGCAACAAAUUUGUUACACAACUUUUACCAUACGUGCAUGCUACGGGACGUGCCAACUUCAACACAAGUAUUUCUCAAUCUCAUAAUUACCCAACUAGCAUGACUCUAAUAUUACCAUCUUUAUAUCUCAAAACAAUUAUCAAGCAUCAAAUUGAUCAUAGCAUCCAAUUCACUUUCUCUGAUAGUUUUUAUUAUACCCAACUUGGAUGCCCAUCAUUCUAGGACCAAUUUUAUAACCAUAGCAAAUACCAUGUUGUUCUAAAAGACUCUCAAAAUAAUAUAAGUGAAGCAUGAGAGAUUAACAAUUUCUACAAAAUAAAACUGUCGCCGUGCUCUAAAAAUAUAUAAGUGAAGCACUAGAGCAAUAUUGUCUAGCUCAAAAGAUAUAAGUGAAGCACAUAGAGUAUUCUAAUAAACUCCGAAUCAUGUGUGUCUCUCCCAAAAUGUGUGUACAUCAAGGAUUAUUGUGGUAACUAAAAAGCAAAGACUCAUAUCAUACAAGACGCUCCAAGCAAAACACAUAUCAUGUGGUGAAUAAAAAUAUAGCUCCAAGUAAAGUUACCGAUAGACGAAGACGAAAGAGGGGAUGCCAUCUGGGGCAUCCCCAAGCUUAGGCUCUUGGUUGUACUUGAAUAUUACCUUGGGGUGCCUUGGGAAUCCCCAAGCUUAGGCUCUUUCCACUCCUUAUUCCAUAGUCCAUCGAAUCUUUACCCAAAACUUGAAAACUUCACAACACAAAACUCAGCAGAAAACUCGUAAGCUCCGUUAGUAUAAGAAAAUAAUUCACCACUUAGGUAUUGUUGUGAACUCAUUAUAAAUUCAUAUGGGUGUAAUAUCUACUUUAUUACAACUUCUCUAUGGUUCAUACCCUCUGAUACUACUCAUAGAUUCAUCAAAAUAAACAAACAACACAUAGAAAACAGAAUCUGUAAAAAAAUUGAACAGUCUGUAGUAAUCUGUAUCAUUCGAAUACUUCUGUAACUCCAAAAAUUCUACCAAAUUAUGAAAACCUGAGUCAUUUGUGUACCAAUCCAUAUCAAAAAGAAUUAGAUCAAAAUCACGUUUCUGUGAAUUAUCAAAACUAAUUUACUGGUUGCGAAAGUUUCUGAUUUUCAGCAGGAUCAAUACAACUAUCACCCUAAGCUAUCCUAAAGGUCUUACUUGGCACUUUAUUGAAACAAAAGCGAUAAAACAUUAUUACUACAGUAGUAUAAUCAUGUGGACACACAAAAACAGUAAAGGUAAAUAUUGGGUUGUCUCCCAACAAGCGAUUUUCUUUAAUGCCUUUUAGCUACGCAUGAUGGUUUCAAUGAUGCUCGCAUAAAAGAGAGCAUAAUGAAGCAUAUUACUAACACAUUUAAGUCUAACACACUUCCUAUGCAUAGGGAUUUUGUGAGCAAACAACUUAUGGGAACAAUAAUCAACUAGCAUAGGAAGGCAAAACAAGCAUAACUUCAAGAUUUUAAGCACAUAGAGAUGAGACUUGAUAUUAUUGCAAUUCCUACAAGCAUAUGUUCCUCCCUCAUAAUAAUUAUCAGUAGCAUCAUGAAUGAAUUCAACAAUAUAACCAGCACCUAAAGCAUUCUUUUCAUGAUCUACUUGCAUAGAAAUUUUACUACUCUCCACAUAAGCAAAAUCUUCUUAUUCGGAAUAGUGGGAGUAUCAUAAGAGACUCGAAUACUAUAAAUUGUUUCCACAUUAAAAGAGUAGUGUUCAGAAAAAGGGUAAUCAUAAUCAUGACAAGUUUUAUAAAUAUAAUCAUCACUACUUUUUAUAGCAUAAGUUUCAUCACAAUAAUCAUCAUAAGUAGCAACUUUGUUCUCAUCAUAAUCAAUUGAAACCUCUUCCAAAAUAGUGGAUUCACCACUAAAUAACGUCAUGACCUCUCCAAAUCCACUUUCAUAAAUAUCAAAAUAAGAUUCAGCAUUCUCCAAAAUAGUGGGAUCAUUACUUCCUAAAGUUGACACUCUUCCAAACCCACUUUCAACAAUAUAAUCAUCAUAAGUAGGAGGCAUGAUAUCAUCAUAACAACUUUUCAUAUCAAAACUUGGGAGGCUAAAAAUAUCACCUUCAUUAAACUUAGCAUCCCCAAGCUUGGGACAAACAUUAAUUGUAGCAAAUAUAUUUUCAAACAUGUCAUUCUCAUCAAACAUAGCAUCCCCAAGCUUGGGCCUUUUCAUAUCAUAAGCAUAAUCACACUCAUCAUUAAUAAUAUGGAUAGCACCAAUAGUAUAGCAAUUAUCAUCAUCACAAUGAGUAAUAGGAGCAACAUCAUUUGGGAGGGAUAGCUUUCUACCUUUGCUUCUUCGUCUCUUCUUUUUCUUCUUCACAUCAUGUGUGGGUUUAACCCUCUUUUUGGAGCUCCUUAUUAAUGAGAUUGGUUGAAUAGAAAGCUCUUCCUCGUUACUUGAUUCAUCAUAAGAAAUAAUAGGAGGAUAUUGGGAAGUCUCUUCCCUUUCAUUAGUAUUCUCUUCAUCUUCUAUUUGCUUUCUUGUAGAUUGCUGAAUAUGAUAUGUUUGAUUCCAUGCAAUAGUUUUGCGAUAUGAAGAUGGUGAUAUUAGAGUCAUGCUAGUGGGUAGUUGUGGAUUGUAGAAAUACUUGUGUUGAAGUUCAUGAUUCCCGUAGCAUGCACGUAUGGUGAACCGUUAUGUAACGAAGUUGGAGCAUGAGGUAUUUAUUGAUUGUCUUCCUUAUGAGUGGUGGUCGGGGACGAGCGAUGGUCUUUUCCUACCAAUCUAUCCCCCCAGGAGCAUGCGCGUAGUACUUUGUUUCGAUGACUAAUAGAUUUUUGCUAUAAGUAUGUGAGUUCUUUAUGACUUAUGUUGAGUCCAUGGAUUAUAUGCACUCUCACCCUUCCAUCAUUGUUAGCCUCUUCGGUACCGUGCAUUGCCCUUUCUCACCUCGAGAGUUGGUGCAAACUUCGCCGGUGCAUCCAAACCCCGUGAUACGAUACACUCUAUCACACAUAAGCCUCCUUAUAUCUUCCUCAAAACAACCACCAUACCUACCUAUCAUGGCAUUUCCAUAGCUAUUCCGAGAUAUAUUGCCAUGCAGCUUCCAUCAUGAUCAUAUACAUGACUUGAGCAUUCAUUGUCAUAUUACUUUGCAUGAUCGUAAGAUAGCUAUCAUGAUAUUUUCAUGGCUUGCCCGUUUUUUGAUGUCAUUGCUAUGCUAGAUCAUUACACAUCCCGGUACACCGCCGAAGGCAUUCUUAUAGAGUCAUAUCUUUGUUCUAGAUAUCGAGUUGUAAUAUUGAGUAGUAAGUAAAUAUAAGUGUGAUGAUCAUCAUUAUUAGAGCAUUACCCCAUGAAAAAAAGAGAGGCCGAAGAAGCCUAAAUAAAAAGAGGGGGGGCAAAGAAGCCCGCCAAAAAAAGAGAAAAAAAGGGGGCAAUGUUACUAUCCUUUUACCACACUUGUGCUUCAGAGUAGCACCAUGUUCUUCAUAUAGAGAGUCUCCUAUAUUGUCACUUUCAUAUACUAGUGGGAAUUUUCAUUAUAGAACUUGGCUUGUAUAUUCCGAUGAUGAGCUUCCUCAAAUGCUUGAGGUCUUCAUGAGCAAGCAAGUUGGAUGCACACCCACUUAGUUUCCAGUUUGAGCUUUCAUACACGUAUAGCUCUUAGUGCAUCCGUUGCAUGGCAAUCCCUACUCCUCGCAUUGACAUCAAUUGAUGGGCAUCUCCAUAGCCCGUUGAUUAGCCGCGUCUAUGUGAGACUUUCUCCCUUUUUGUCUUCUCCACACAACCUCCACCAUCAUAUUCUAUUCCACCUAUAGUGCUAUGUCCAUGGUUCACGCUCAUGUAUUGCGUGAAAGUUGAAAAGGUUUGAGAAUGUCAAAAGUAUGAAACAAUUGCUUGGCUUGUCAUCGGGGUUGUGCAUGAUUUGAAUAUUUUGUGUGGUGAAGAUGGAGCAUAGCCAGACUAUAUGAUUUUGUAGGGAUAACUUUCUUUGGCCAUGUUAUUUUGAAAAGACAUGAUUGCUUUAUUAGUACGCUUGAAGUAUUAUCAUUUUUUUGUCAAAUGAUAGACUAUUGCUUUGAAUCACUCGUGUCUUAAUAUUCAUGUCAUGAUUAGAUAUAUGAUUAAGAUUAUUCUAGGUAGCAUUCCACAUCAAAAAUUAUCUUUUUAUCAUUUACCUAUUCGAGGAUGAGCAGGAAUUAAGCUUGGGGAUGCUGAUACGUCUCCGUCGUAUCUAUAAUUUUUGAUUGCUCCAUGCCAAUAUUAUUCAACUUUCAUAUACUUUUGGCAACUUUUUAUACUAUUUUUGGGACUAACAUAGUGAUCUAGUGCCCAGUGCAAGUUCCUGUUUGUUGCAUGUUUUAUGUUUCACAGAAAACUAAUAUCAAACGGAGUCCAAACGGGAUAAAAACGUACGGAGAAUAUUUUUAGAAUAUUUGUGAUAUUUGGGAAGAAAAAUCAACGCGAGACGGUACCAGAGGGGGCCACGAGGCAGGGGGCGCGACCUAGGGGGGCGGGCGUACCCCACACCCUCGUGGGCACCCCGUAAGGCGGCUGCUGCUCUUCUUGGGCCGCAAGAAAGCUAAUUUUUAGAAGAAGAAAAAUCUUGGUGAAGGCUUCAGUACAAUCGAAGUUACGAAUCUCCGGAUAUAUAAGAAACGGUGAAAGGGCAGAAUCAAGAACGCAAAAACAGAGAGAGACAGAGAGACAGAUCCAAUCUCGGAGGAGCUCUCGCCCCUCCCAUGCCAUGGAAGCCAAGGACCAGAUGGGAAACCCUUCUCCCAUCUAGGGAGAAGGUCAAGGAAGAAGAAGAAGAAGAAGAAGAAGGGGGGGCUCUCUCCCCCUCGCUUCCGGUGGCGCCGGAACACCGUCGGGGCCAUCAUCAUCACCGUGAUCUACACCGACAACUUCACCGCCUUCAUCACCAACUCUUCCCUCCUCUAUGCAGCGGUGUAAACCCUCUUUUACCCGAUGUAAUCUCUACUUAAACAUGGUGCUCAACGCUAUAUAUUAUUUCCCAAUGAUGUAUGGCUAUCUUAUGAUGUUUGAGUAGAUCCGUUUUGUCCUAUGGGUUAAUUGAUGAUCGUGAUUGGUUUGAAUUGCAUGUUUUAUUGUUGGCGCUAUCCUAUUGUGCCCUGCAUGUCGCGCAAGCGUGAGGAAUUCCCGCAGUAGGGUGUGGCAAUAUGUUCAUGAUUCGCUUAUAGUGGGUUGCUUGAGUGACAGAAGCAUAACCCGAAUAAGGGGGUUCUGGCGUAUGGGAUAAAGGGGACUUGAUGCUUUAAUGCUAUGGUUGGGUUUUACCUUAAUGAUCUUUAGUAGUUGCGGAUGCUUGCUAGAGUUCCAAUCAUAAGUGCAUAUGAUCCAAGAAGAGAAAAUAUGUUAGCUUAUGCCUCUCCCUCAAAAAAAUUGCAAUAGUCAUUACCGGUUUAGUUAUCGAUUGCCUAGGGAUAAAUAACUUUCUCGUGACAAAAAGCUCUCUAUUAAAACUAACUUAGUUGUGUCUUCAUCUAAACAGCCCCUACUUUUUAUUUAUGUGCUCUUUAUUAUCUUGCAAACCUAUCCUAUCAUACCUGCAAAUUCCUUAUAGUUCCUUACUUGUUCUAGGUAAAGCGAACGUCAAGCGUGCGUAGAGUUGUAUCGGUGGUCGAUAGAACUUGAUGGAAUAUUUGUUCUACCUUUAGCUCCUCAUUUGGUUCGACACUCUUAUUUAUCAAAAGAGGCUACAAUUUAUCCCCUAUACUUGUGGGUUAUCACGCCACCAGACCUUUUUGCCCUCCAUGCAGUCACGUUCUAGGGCACCAUGUCCUCCAAGCCCUCCUCGUCCGCGCUUUAGGGCACGACGGAGCGGAUGUGCGCCCUCNNNNNNNNNNNNNNNNNNNNNNNNNNNNNNNNNNNNNNNNNNNNNNNNNNNNNNNNNNNNNNNNNNNNNNNNNNNNNNNNNNNNNNNNNNNNNNNNNNNNNNNNNNNNNNNNNNNNNNNNNNNNNNNNNNNNNNNNNNNNNNNNNNNNNNNNNNNNNNNNNNNNNNNNNNNNNNNNNNNNNNNNNNNNNNNNNNNNNNNNNNNNNNNNNNNNNNNNNNNNNNNNNNNNNNNNNNNNNNNNNNNNNNNNNNNNNNNNNNNNNNNNNNNNNNNNNNNNNNNNNNNNNNNNNNNNNNNNNNNNNNNNNNNNNNNNNNNNNNNNNNNNNNNNNNNNNNNNNNNGAUGGCCUGGAGGUGCAGAUCGCGCUUUCGUCCGUUGGGGAUAUCAUCAUCCCCGAGCUGGAGGAGGCAGACGACUCGGAACCCUGGUGGAACCCGACAGUGGUGGGCCAGUCCUGGUCGUGAACUUCGACCCUGUCGUGCACGUCGGAGUUGGCGUCUGCGCCACACUUGUUGGUUGGCACCGACACAUGAUCACCGCUCCAUGUGCCACCGCCGCCCCUUGUUGUGCAACCGCCGCAGUCGCCACCAGCUCACCUAUGGCAGCCGCCUCCCUUCGUCAACCUCAGCGUAGACGAGGAAUAGGGCAACCAAGACGGUGGUGACGCCAUGCAGUGAAGACGGCGACGACGUCUUGUUCUUUUUUAUAAUAAUUUUGAGUUUAAGUUGAUGCAUGAUGAAUAGUUCGGCCAUGACUUUUGGACGUUAAUGUAAUAUAUAAUUAUCGUUUAGAUUAUUUUUAUCUCCUUUUUUGUUUGAAUUGUAGUUUAAAUCUGAAUGCUUUCACCAAAUGUGACGGCCAGUCGGGUGCGACAACCGGCGGACGACCGCAAAUGGACGCUUGUGGCCACUUUGCCGACCUAAACGGACAGAAUCCGGAUAAAACAAACGUCUGUUUGGGGUCGUCCAACAACUGUUGGAGUAGGCCUUAAAACACACAGCCAUAGAGCAGGUCUUAGAGCAUCUCCAGCCGCGCCCCAACUUGCCCCCCAAGGCCCUUUUUUGUCGCCGGCGGAGAAAAUUCGGCCCAGUCGCACCCACAUAAGCCCAAUUUUCACUGGUUAGGGCCGAUUUUGGCGUCGGUGGACCCAGGCCGAACCCGGCGCACUGGGGGGCGUCCGGGGGCAACGGGGGAAACAUUUUUUUGCGUGAAAAGGAGUGGGUCCUCCAAGUCAGUGAAUCGCCGGCUUCGUCGUCCUCAUCGCUUCGGUUCCCACGGGAAUCAAUGCCAAGGCCGCCACGCCGGUCAGCCUUCCAUUGAUGCCUCACGGGCGGCGCAGUGAAGGCAUGGCGACACGCGUCCCCUCCCGCCACGCGGCACACGGUGGCAGCUCUCCCACCGCCCAUCUGCAGCUAUAAGCCUUCUUCCCUCGCUGGUGAACGCACAAACUCUCGCCACCGACGCCCUUCUCUCUACCUCUCGCCGCCGAUGCCUCUCUCACCCACUCUCUCCCGCGCCAACGUCAAUGGUCGAGCACUUUCCAGGCGACGACGCAGCGGCGAACGGCUUCGGUCGCCGCCAUCUGCAUGAGGUUGAGGCGUGCCUCCUCUACGAGGCCAACUACCCGGUGCCCCCGAACAUGUGGGUGCCGGGCGCCUGGAGGCUCAGUGUUGGCGGCGUCCCGGUGCCGCCUGCGCCAACCGGAGCGGCCCGGCGAGCCAAAAUCCGGUCAUCGCUGCCGGAGCCACAGCGGAAUCAGCCGAGGUACGACCCCGACAGCAACACGAUGUGGACGGCGUACUUCGAGCGGCGCCACGAGGAGCAGAUUGCCGCCACCAACGGCGUCGAGCCCCGCAGCCGCCACAACUCCGAGGGGAGGCGCCGAUGGUGGAGCGUCCCAGGCCGAACCCUCGAGGCUGUCCUUGAGCACAUUGAGGCCUGGGGUACCCGGCGCCCCCUCCUUCUCUCGCCGCCGCGGCAGCUCCUGGAUGCCACGGCGAAUGGAGACGGCGACAUCAUCAUCGUCGGGCUCUGGCUCUCUGUCCUCCAGCUCGCCGGCACUUCGGCCCGUCAAGCCGGAGCUGCAGGAGACGCCACUAGGGCGUCGCGCACGCGACGCCCUUGUCAUCAACGAGGGCGGCCGCCCCUCUCCUUCCUACCGCCUCGUCCGGCCGAAGACCGAGCCAGGUUUGCUCCCCGUGAAGAAGGAGCACGAGGCCAUGCUCGCCGCCUACGAGACCGCCUACAUCUGCAAGUAGGGAUUAAGGCAUAGGUGGAUUCUUUCUGCUUAGUCUCGAAGAAGAAAAGCAAUCCAGAUUGAGAAUUUCCCUCUUUAGAUCUCCAACAUUGCAGAUAAUAAUAGAGGGUGUCGGUCACCGAUUCUCAAUAUGCUCUGAAAUUCAUAUGUGCUCUGCUUUUAUUUUUCUGUCAGCAUGGACACUUACCAGAUACAGUAUUUGUUUGAGAAAUACUAGGCGAUUUUGGUGUGUAAUCUGUAUGAACAAAGAUCUACAAGAAACUUCAACAAGCCGUCUAUCUAGCGCGUAUUAUAUACAUAUAUAACUUCCCCAUAUAAUUUAUAUCCAGUUUUUUCAUCAUUGUUGAUCUUAUUCUGAACUUCUCAGGAGCGACAACUCAAUGCGAUUAGUACCUUUGUUCAGUUCAGUGUAUGAUGGGAACAUAGUGUGGCGUUGAUGUCCUAACGACACGCAUCACUCAUGUUUUUUAGAAUCUUGGUAGUUCAUCUUGGUAACUCCUGUUCCUUUUUAUACAGUUAUACCUUGUUUCGCAUGCCUAACCUUUUUCUUGAAUUUGCUGCGUCGAACAGGGAGAGCGCCAUCGUGCAAAUAAUGGCCAACAGGACAUGUUCUUCUUCUGUCUCCUCACUCUUUGCUUCAUCUCGGCCACAAGGAUGGGCAGAGCUCCCGGACGACCUGCUCCGACCCGUUGUCGCUCUACUACGUUCGUUCCGUGACCUCCUCGCCUUCGGUACCACUUGUCGUCAUUGGUGUGAUCUCCUCUCAGCACACAGGUCCUCUGUCCAGCCUCUGCUCCUCCACCCCAAUCUCCGUACCGACGGUGGACAGGCUCUCUCGCAUAACUGUUGGACCUUAUUCCACAAAUGCACAUGGAGAUUGGGUGACCCUGCUGCCACCUCAUCCUCUCGCAGUUUUCUCUCCUCGAGUGACCUCAGAAGCAUGACCUUUCUGCGCUACUCCUAUGGUCAGCUCAUCUUCUAUGACAACAAUGGGUUCCAUAUUGUUAAUCCAUUCAGUGGCGCUAAGCUUGGCCCUCCUUCCCUACAGUCAAUUCACUUCACUUGCAUCAGCUAUGUCACCUUAACUGCCCCUGUUGCAUCCGCUGAUUCGCAUCUCCUUGUCGGUGCUGGAGCCUAUCUGUUCCUGUGGCGCAUCGGGAGCGACUCUUGGACAAAACACAGCCCUAAAGUUGGUCGUUUUUCGAUUGAACAAAAUGUGACCUUCAAGGGCAAGACAUAUGCCCUAGGGUCUUUCGGGUGGUUCUACAUCAUUCACUUGUCACCCAGUCUCAUUGUUGAGAAGUUUAAAGUUGUGUUCGAGGAAGAUAAAACCGAAGAUCUCUAUUCGGCAAAUGAAAAAGCAUGGCUAGUGGUGUGUGGUGACACGCUUCUCUUGAUCAAACUUGUGGAGGCGGGAAGACGGAUGCGCUCGGAGGCCUUCCAGUUCAUGCCCUUCAAGCUUGAGUCAUUGGACACCAUGACCAAGAAGGCAAGGUGGGUGAAAGUGAACAAGUUAGAUAACUGGGCCAUCUUUAUCAGCGUUGACGAGCGGUGCGAGGCGUUGCCGUGCAUGAACCCGGAGGGAUCGGGAGGAAGGAGCAACCACAUAUACUUCCCAAGUUAUCAGUCUGAAAAACCUUGGGCUGCAGUCCAACUAUGGAAAAAAUGUUAUUACCAUUCGACACAGCUCUUCAACACUGGAAGACGUUACCUGAAAUUGGAGUCAACCUGGGUCUUCCCCGCGCGUUUCCUUGUUACGUCCUGCGAUGAUCUUACGGCCGUGAGUGCGGUUGAUGAUUAGCUUCUGAUACAGCUUUGGUGGGAGGAUUCUACUAUGUUGCAGUAGCAAGAUUAGUUCACUGAAUGUUCUUGACGUGUUUCAAAACUUGCAUUACAAACAGAAGUGUAGAUUAAGUUAUUAGAUUGUGUACUUUCCUCUUUUUUUCUGCGGCAAUUACAAGGGACCCAUAUGUUUUAUUUCUCAUUUAUUACAGAUUGUGGAGUUUUCUUGUACCUGGGAACUUGAUAACAUGGGCUAGGCCUGUAACUUCCCUUUCAUACAUAGAUAAGACAUCAGGUUAAUAUAGACUGCAAGUUCAGCCAACAAACAUAUAAGCAGCAUAUAUGCAUUCAUCAUAAAGUUUAUAGUUUGCACCAACAAAAAUUAGGCAGACCGAGUGUUCGACAACCAAACAGAUCUGCAUUUGAACAUAGCUUCAGCAAACAGCUUUGUGUGCAUUUGAUUGUCUCUGUUUAAAAGGAGAUCAAGCUACAAAUAGAUGUAUGGACCAAACAAAGCACAUAACUAAAAUAAAAGCCCAGGCACAUCUGACAUGGUGCACACAAAAAAUGCUGAAGAGUGAUAUGAAGACUCAAGAAGCUAGUAUUGUUUCAAGAUGCAAACCCUUAUCUCUUGUAUGCAAAACGGGAGUAAUUAACAAGGUUCAGCUAAAACAGCAACAUGUAGCACAAGUUUUGCCUCCAGGAAUGUACACUGGGUGGCAAACAGAGAUUAUUACAAAUCUUUUUUGAAAGGAAUUAUUACAAAUCUUGAUGUACUCCGUCAAAGGAGCGGAAACUAGAAGGAACAUAGCGACAAAAAAGUCCCCAAGUGCAGCCAACGACAACAAGACAACUGCACGGUACAACGACACGUUCUCAUAUCCAAGCUGCAAAGGAUGUAGGAUUGCGAGCAAGAUGAGCAUUGAUCGUUGCAAAACAAGGUUCUGGCUCCAACUCCUCAUGUUGGUUGCCGUCUACUGGGUAUGAAAAUACUCGAGCGUUUUCAUCCAACUGAUAGACAAGGCCACCCCUUAAACCCAUUCUCUCUGGGUUCACUAAGAGUCGUGGCUGUCCAGUACGUUUUUCGCCCAAGAAGAACGCCCACUUCUUCAAGCCUCCCUCUUCCACGAUCACAUACUUUGCAGGUUCAGUUGAGAAGUCAAUGGAGAAGACUUCCCCGUUACGACCAAGUAGGAGAAGUGUGUCUUCACAAGCCACCAAAUUUCCGGAAAGCACGUACGGGUCCAUAUAAUCUCUGCAAUCAAGUCUUAGUAGCUCAACAUGAAUCUGAGGUGUCAAAUGCACGGUGUAUAGUUUUUGACGCAUCCUCAUAAUGACCCGGCCUUUGAAG
This 61797-nucleotide long non-coding RNA is filed under the name Triticum aestivum (bread wheat). RNAcentral describes it as "long non-coding RNA (TAES_LNC002491)". The stretch from base 14074 to 14145 matches the Rfam family "tRNA". Lineage: Eukaryota; Viridiplantae; Streptophyta; Magnoliopsida; Poales; Poaceae. The record is from RNAcentral.